RNAcentral lists this long non-coding RNA (55632 nucleotides) under Capsicum annuum. RNAcentral describes it as "long non-coding RNA (CANN_LNC003979)". Lineage: Eukaryota; Viridiplantae; Streptophyta; Magnoliopsida; Solanales; Solanaceae. The record is from RNAcentral.
GCCUGGACAUAAACGAAACAAACAAAAUCAACGAGUGCGUGAAAGAAUAAGCAGCAAAAUUAGAAGUUCAAAGCCAUCCAAUUGUUGUUUGAGUCCAGAAAUACCCAUGACUCAACAGCAAAGGUACGACGAUACAUCUUUCCAAGAUCAAAAUAAUAUAUACUACAUACAUCCUUUACACAUUGCUACUACACUAAAAACAAGAGGAUCAUAACUAAAGAACACUUACGACAUGAUCAUGGUCUGGAGGAGCAUAUAUGCCCGUAGUUACUGUUUUUCUCCUUCGAGUAUCAUUUGACGGUGCAUCAGAUAUCUUUUUGAAUCCUGUUGGAACAACUACUACUGGAAUACCCACAAGAUUGCCAAGACAAACUUUCUCCCACUCAGUUGCAUUUCCAAUAAAUGCAUCAACUUUGAAACUUUCUCUCACUUGCUGAAUCAACAUACCUCUAGCUCUUUGUGCCUGGUGAAAUAUCAUACACGUAUUGAUCUUAGCAUUGCCAAAUUUUGAACAACUGUAUAAAAGUGGAUUAACACCUCCAUUCAGAUUUUGAGAUGUCUGAAAGAAUUUAAUUAAUUAAGGUUUUUCAUCCUAUACCAGUGAUAAUUAAUCAAACAUACAGUUUUAAACAUCUAAACCAAGAGAAACUUUGUAGAUCAAGAUAAUAACCUGAAAAUAGUCAACGGCAGAUAUGGCACGUGCUCGGCGAAGUCUAAUAGGCCAUUUAUCUUGGUCUUCAAAUUCAUCAUCCAGAUUUGAGCGCUGCCAUUUGUCAAAGUGAGCCAACAUCUCAACAUCCAUUGUGAAAUUGAGGAUACCUUGGAAAGAAUCAACAGUGUAACUCAGGUUAAAUGGGACCAUAUUCGCUCCUUUUGAUUGGAGUACGUGAACAACCUGUCAUCGCCAUGACAAUGCAAUCCAGGUAAGACAUUCAUCAAAUAGGAUACAGAACCUAAUUAACACAGCCCCAUUCCAAUACUGGAAAAUAUUUACUUACUUCCAUAUCAGCAUCCUCAAGAUAUCCAACAGUGAGCUUUGUGAUAUCAACUCUGGGUCCUUCCCUCGAAUGGCAUCCAGAACAAUUGCACAAUCCACAGAAUUUCUACAAAAAGGGCCUAAUUUAUCCUGACAAGAAGUUAGAUUUCAGUGUAUUAUACUAAAAACUAGUAUUAGGAAAGAGAAUUGCACUGUGGAAGAAAUAUUAAGUACCAAGCUUUCAGCUAUGCUCAUAAUACCCGUUCGACCAACAGCUCCAAAAGUGGGCCGCAGCGCCGUCACGCCACAGCGAGAAGCUGGAAAGGUAAUGGAGCCGGCAGUUUCUGAACCGAUUGCAAACGGAACCAAACCUGCAAUACCAGUCUCUCUCUCUCUCAAACAAUAUGUUCUGCGUACUAAUAAGUCAUAAAACAUCGAGCAGAAUUGUCAUAUUUGCAAAUUUAGAAGGCAGGAUGCAUAGAUCGGAAUCUAAUCAGGGAUAGAUCAAUAGCUCAUGGAUACCUGCUGAGGUGCAAGAAGCAGACCCUGCUGAUGAUCCUGUAGAAUAUUCCUCGAUAUUCCACGGGUUUCUUGUUCUUCCACCAAACCAGAUGUCAGCAUAUGCUAAAGAACCAGUUACUAACUUUGCAACAAGAACUGCCCCGGCAGAUUUCAGCCUGCAUCAACCAUAUCUAUAUUACUAAAAUACACGCACAGUAAGAAUGGGUGUCUAGAUCUGGCCUCAUAUGUCAUUGAUAUCAUGAUUAGUUAGUUAUACCUCUUAUAAGCCCAAGCUUCAAUAUCAAGAACUUGGUCUUUAAAAGAUGUUGAACCCCAUGUUGUGGUAUAGUUAGGUACUGCUAUGAUCUCCUUAAGACCAUUGGGAAUCCCAUGAAGAGGACCUAUAUAGAAAAGAAGAUGUUAUACUUGUAAUCCUUUGAGAGAGCAAAAUAUUGUUAAAAAGGGUUAUGAGGCUAUUAGUGACACAAGGAAAAGUGAUCAAACAAAAAGUUGGAAAAAACAUUUUUUGUAUUACUCUCCACAUUUAAUAAAGAAGUACCAAGGAAUAAGAAGCUACCUAUGCCCUAAAUUCCUCUAAAGUAAAAAAAUAAAUCAGGGAAAAUUAUUUCAGAGCAUUAGGUGAGAAGUGAAGGAAGCAUUAAUUACUAUCGGUGGAAAACGGAACUAUAGGAAAUGAACAACCUCAGCAUCAAGAGAAGAUCAGUCCGAAGAAAUUGGAGAAUAUUGCAGCCUGAAGAUUUAGGAUUUCCCUGAUUAGGUGUAUAAUUUCGAUGGUCUAAUUUUAAUACCGCUGAUAAACAUAAAUCAUUUUCUUCCAUUGUAGUUAUGAUGCUCACAUUUUAUUUUUCUUUAUGGAGAAUUUGGAUGUACACCAUUACCUUUUUCAGAUGUAAAGGUCCUUGACAUCUAUGGCGAUCUAACAUGAAUCAUUAUUAUUGAGGCAUAGUUCAUUCAUCGAUUGAUGGAAAAUCCAAUAUUAUGAAGGUGAAUAGGAAAUACGUGAAAGAGGCUAGCGGAGAGGAAAUGAGCAGACUGUUACCCAGAUAUUUGCCUUCAGCAAGCAGUUGGUCAGCCUCUUUUGCUUGUUUGUAUGCUAAUUCUUCCGUAAUUACAUUGACGGACUCAAGAACAGGACCAUACCUGAGACAUCCCCAGUAGAUAUUUCAUUAUGAGGACUAGAUACCAAUAACAAUAAAAGAAUUGGAAGCAAACACUAGUUCAAACACCUCUUCAGUCUCUUCAAGAAAAUUCCAGUCAGCUCCACCGAUGUGAUAAGAUUUUCCUUGAGAAGCUGCCCGAGUUCAAGAAUCUGAUAUAACAGCAUGGGUGCAUGAUUAGACGGAAUGUUUUAUAAAUUUGAGCACGUAAGUCCUACUAUGGGAUCACUUACACUCUGGAACGCGAUAUCCUCAUCACUUUUUGGUCUCUGAAUACCAACAGGUGAUGGAUAAUUGAUCUUUUUAUUUGGUUCAUUUUCUAUCUGUUGGACCUUCCAUGCUGAAUUGAAGACUAAACAAGACGGGUUAUGCAGACCUCCAUCAGUAGUGGCAACCAACUUUCGGUUAGAUCUGAUUAUAGGUCUGUUGAAGUCGUUUGCUCCCUUUUGGAUUUCAAGCAUCUGAAAGGAAUGAACGUUAUUGUCAAAUAUAUAGUCUUGCUUUAUAUUCUAGUUCAGAGCUAGAAGGAUAACCAGAAAAAUUAAAAUGUCACAAUAGUACCUUCUUCUUACUCAAGAAGCUGGAGUCCAACAUUUUGAAUCCACAUUCACAAACCGGAAGAUGUUUGGCCUCUUCCAAGGGGUUUUCAAGACCCAAUUUUUCACUUUCCUGAUUAACGAUCACAUAAUUAGACAGAAAACACCAAAGUCUAGAAAUUUAGAACUGCUUUCCAAAUGAUACAGAUGGUCAUGUAACUAUCAAUUUUUUUCACAAAAAUCACCAAACUUUAACUAUAUUAACACAAAAAUCAGACAACCUGAAAAUGCUUUCUGAUGGACAACUCAUCUUUUACCUUUUCUGAAAAACUAUGUAGUAAUAGAUAAAAAGUUCAAUUAAAAAUCCAAAUGAAGAAAGUAAACUAUCAAAAGAACAGAACAGGAGUACAGAACCACACUUCCCCCCCCCCCNNNNNNNNNNNNNCAAAAAGCUGUUGAAAAUUAGUGAGGAGGAAACAAUGUUUCAACCUGAUUCUUCAUAUGGAUUUUGGGUUUGGUCGGAGCUUUUUAAUUGAAUUUUGUUUAUUGCAUUUAUAAAUAAAUUUAUAAAAAAAAAAAAAAAAAAGAGUUAUCUACUGGAAAUUUGGAAAUUUCAGGUUGUACGUGACCAUACGUGAAAUUUACACUGAAAACACAUGUAUAGUUUGAUGACAAGAAGAAGUAUACAUGCUAAAGUUGACCACUUGUCGCCAGUGAUAGUAAUAUCUUUGGGCGUUUAAGCUUUUCAAUAACAAGCUGGAGAUGAGAUUCUUCAUUUACCAUAUCUGUAGAACUGCUGCAAGUAAAAUCCCCAGGAUAUCCUGAUGAAGAAACAUAGUUAAAUAGAAGCACCAAUAUGUGCAACAGCAACAACCAACGAACUGAACGUGUCAGAAGACCCUUUUCACUUGCCAUGAGGAACUAGAUUUCCGGCAGUUAAAUGCACCAAAUUAUAGGAUCAUCAGCUUCCUUUCCACUCCUUAUCGACUGAACUUUCCAAAUUUGUUUAAUAAUUAGUAAAAGGUAGGAGUAUUGUUUAGUUGAGUUGUUGAGCUAGAUCUAAUAUCACAUUUAAAAAUUAUUUUAAAAGAUCUACUAUCGCUUAGAAAACACACCAUAAAAAAAAAGAAAUUAACUUGACACGAAAUUUAAAAAAAUAAAAUAAAAAUUUAAAUCUUACGCUUUUAAAUUAAAAAUAUGUUAAAUAUAUCAAAAUGUCAUAUCACGUAAAAAGUUAAAAUUAAAAAGUUACUGUUAAAAAAAAAAAGAAUCAUUUUUUUUUAACAGGACUAAAAAAAAAUAAUCAUUCCUUUUUUUUCAAACUGAGGGAGUAAUUUUUUUAAUAAUGUUAAUAACUGAGGUGUAGUCAUCUUCGUUGUUUGUUAUAUGUAGCCAAUUGUUAUCCAUUUUUUCUAUCUAUUACCUGUAAUCUUAAAGGGCACAACCCCUGCCCGCUUUUAUUUUUGGUUUCAAAAUUUCAAUAUCUAUUUUAAGGUAUGUAGAUAUUUUGUUUAUUGCAUUUUGGAUCUUUCCGAUUUUCACAUCAACUCCGCGACGCUAAUUGCUUACUUGAAAAUCUUACACUCCCUCUCUUCUAAGUACUUUUCAUAUUUUUGAUUUACAUGUCUCUUAAUAAAUUACUAUUUAUUAUGAAUAUUUUUUUACAUCAUAUUCUUAUUUAAUUUCUUUAAUCAUUUCUCAAUCAAUGAAAAUUUUAGUUUUUUUUUUUAACUAAAAGUAUACUUUAUUAUACCUUGAUUUUGUAAAAUUACAAGCAUCGUGAGCAUUUAAUAACACUUACAUUUAUCUGUUUUAUAUGUUAAAAGAUUAUGAACACUAAAUAGUUAAAAUUUAAAUGAAUAGAAUAGUAUCCUUUAGUUGAAGUUUACUUAUGCUUUUAUUUACUACUAGGCGUUGAACUAUCGGCACGUCAGAAGCCUCAUCAAAAUGGCCCUUAGUUGGUAAGCCGCACAAAACGAUCUAAAGUAAGCCGCACAAAACUAUCUAACUGAUUGUCAGGAAUUGGGUUGGAGUGCUGAUGGCUGUGAGGUUGCAACUGUCGAAGCCUGGAGUUAUGUUUAGUUCAAUAUCAAAUUAAUUAAAGGGACCUCUAACAAAAUUAAACAAAUUUUAGAAGGACAACGACCUUUACAAAAGAAACAAACAAGAAUAUUCUAUUCUUUUGAAAUCUAUGAUAUAGGGAGGAUAUUCUGAUCAAUCGACAUCCAGAUAAAAAUUGUCCCAUAUACACUACAGAGAUACAUGCUUGUUUUGCGGGGAAGCAUAUUGCUGGAAAAACAUGCUCGUCUUGGUCAUCAAGAAUUUGAGGAAAGAGAAGAGGACAAAAAAAAAACAACAGGAAAACAACUAGCUCAAAAAUCUAAAAGAAGCCCGACUGAGGUCAUUAGUGCCAUUUCCCAUCCUAAUUGUCGCUCCGUGCGAGUGCCUUACCAAUCCUAAUUGUCGCGCCUAGUCCUCCUACGAGGAGCAGCUGCAGCAUCCUCACUCUGCUCUUCCUUCUCCUCUGUGGCUUGACUAUUGGAAGUGGAAGUUUCAGCUGCAUCAGUUUUUUCAGUCUCUGCACUAGCUCUAGCCUGCAGAUAUACAUACACAGCAGAGACAUAAGAAAAAAGACAAACAGGUGGGGGUUCUUUCAUUGAUUUGUUCUUUUAACUAAGAUGGCACGGAUAUUGGUGCUUACCGGCUUCGGCUGCGGCUGCUUCUUCCCACCAAAGAUGAGCUUCAAUAGAAUUGAGAAGAAAACAACUACGACUGAGAUGACAACACUAACUGUGAGAUUGGGUUGUGCCUCAGCUUUCUCGAGAAGAUCCUGGAAAAAUAAGUCGAGAUUAUAUUAGAUACUUGCAGCAAAAUGAAACCCUUCAAUGAAACAAAACAGUAGUUCCUACACUUACCAGUACUUUGGCCUUGUGUUCGCCCAAGAACGGGACGUCAGCUACCUUGUAGAGGAGGUCAAAUACUACUUUCUGCAAAGUAUUGCCAAAUAUUUCAAGUUGUGUGAAAUGAGAAUAAAUCUAACGCAUAGAAAUUAGAUGGUAAAGAAAGUUUAGUCCUAUACCUGGUAUCUUUUGAGACCACCAGAUUCUGCUGUUUCCUCGGCUUUUUGCUUCUCCUUCUCUACGUCAAACUUGGGUUUCCAGGCAGUCUUCCUGUAUGAUUCAGCAACUUUUUCAUCACUUGCUAUCAAGAUAUUGUCAAACAAUAUGCCAUCUUGCAUUGUCCAUAUCUCAAUGCCAAUAGCUGCAAUUGGCUCAAAGUUGGGUUUGUCAAGUUCAAAAUAGUCGGGAUUUGGGAUAUCCCUGGGCUUCCAUAUACCCUUGUAAUUGGGGUUGUCAAUCAGUGGAGCAUGCCAUUUUCCCUUGUAAGCUGGAUUUCUCUUCAUUGGUCUUUUCCACUCCCCACAUCCAGGAGCUUCCUCACAUUUUGGGUUGUCAGUUUUUGGAGCCUCCCAUAAACCAUCCUCCUCAUCAUCCCAAUCUUCAGGCUUUGUGGCCUCGGGAUUAUCGAUCUCCUCAGGCUCAUCAUCCAACCAUCCUUCAGGCUUCUCAGCUUCCUCAUCUUCAAUUUCCAUUGGUGCGUCCUCAUCCCAAUCAUCUGGUUUCUUAGCAUCAGGGUCUGGAAUUUUGGCUCUCUCGUCCCAGUCCUCGGGCUUCUUGUCUUCUUGACAGCUGAAAGGAAGUUAGCCUUCUUUUUUUCUUCCCCAUCAACAAAGAUCAGAACUUCAUUGUCCGGUUUCAACACAGCAGUGUAAACAUGGGUUAGUUUGUCAGACGGUACGGAAGGAGGAAACUUGAGGUGGUGCUCAAUGAACUCCCCACUCUUAGGAUUCUUAUGUUUCAAAAUGAAGUGCACCUUGUUUGUGGCUCCACAUUUAUCUGGUCCAAACAUUACCGUAUAGGGGGACGCAUUAUCAAAACCCUUUGCAGUCCAACCUGCUUCCUGGGGACGGAGGUAUUUUAGGUAGGCACCACCACACUCAAGUCCCUCCUGGAGGCGAACCUCAUAUUGAAGGACCACAGUUCCGUCUUUGAGGUCAACAACAUUGUCAAGCUCCUUGACAAUGGCGUAUUUCCUAGCCUUCUCACUCACUAGAAGUCCAUAAUCAUCAUGUCCCUCGCUCUUGGCAUGUUUCCACACACCUGAGAUAAAAUUAUAUGUCCAUUUAAACUUGCAAGAUCAAAGAUUAGACAUCACUUCACUAAUGCAAAUGCGAUAUAAACAUAAAAAGGCAUUGCUUUACUUCAGAGAUGUAAUACUUUUUCAUAAAGAUUUUCUGCAUCAGAGAUACAGCUUCAACCAACAUAGCAGAAUUAGAGUUAAAAAGACUAGAUACUUCAAUUAACUUUAUGGAAAUUUGGUUACAUGCCAUAUUUGGCACGAGUAACCAAAAUUUUUAAUGCUGAAGACUGCAUAAUAGACUGUCGGAAGGCACAUAAAUAACACCUGCACAUAAGACCCGCUGCUGAAAGCAAAUUUCAAAACCAACUCAUACUUACAUUUUUUUUAAGAAGGUGCCCUUUUAAACAAAAUAACUGUGUACUGUAUAGUUCAUAGAAAGUGCAAGCAUCCAUAAAAGCUAAUACCAUCACAACAUUUUCACUCCCCCAUCACCAAGCAAACAUGUCAAACAGAUUAUGUAAUGUGUAUAGUUGAGAGACAGAAUAAUAAUCCAUAAAGGCUAAGAGCAUCACACUGUUUUCACACUUAUGUUCCUCAAUCAUUGCUUCUUUACAUAGUCUUAAUGUCUCUUAAUUACUUCUCAAUCUUAUGAUCCUUUUAACCUACUUCAAUAAAAAGUUAAUGAAAGGGCAGCUCGGUGCACUAAAGCUCCCGCUAUGCACAGGUCCAAGGAAGGGCCUUAAUGUCUCUUAAUUACUUCUCAAUCUUAUGAUCCUUUUAACCUACUUCAAUAAAAAGUUAAUGAAAGGGCAGCUCGGUGCACUAAAGCUCCCGUUAUGCAAAGGUCCAAGGAAGGGCCUUAAUGUCUCUUAAUUAAUUUUCUCAAUCUUAUGAUCCUUUUAACCUACUUCAAUAACAAGUUAAUGAAAGGGCAGCUCGGUGCACUAAAGCUCCCGCUAUGCACAGGUCCAAGGAAGGGCCCCACAAGGGUGUAUUGUAGGCAGCCUUACCUUGGCUGUUUCGAAGGCUAAAACUCCUGUCACAUGGCAGCAACUCAAGGAAGGGCCCCACAAGGGUGUAUUGUAGGCAGCCUUACCUUGGCUGUUUCGAAGGCUAAAACUCCUGUCACAUGGCAGCAACUAUACCAGUUACUCCAAGGAAAUUGUAGCAGCUAAUUUUUCCACAGUUCGCUAAUUUUUCCACAGUUAGCACGCAAACAUUAAAACGAGUUAUGACUCCUUAAUCAUUGUUUGUUCCUUUAGCUAUAGUGUUACAUAUUGACACGACUCUUCUAACCUACUCCAUUAACAAGUUAUAAAUAAAUCUGAAGUAGUACCAAGGACAUUGUAGCAACUAAUCCCUCCACUAUUACCACUCAAACAUUAUAACAUCAUUACUUAAACAUUGUUUCUCCCUUUAACCUUAAAUUGCAUUAUUACUUCUCAACCUUCUGAUUCCUUUAUUAAACUCUAUCAACAAGUUGUAAAUGAAUCUGAAGAAGUAGCACAGGUAAUACAGUGAACAGUAAAUGCAAUAAACUACAGUGAUCCAGAAUUACAGAAUAUAAAACAUAAGAACCGAACGAAAUACUUCAUAGAUCCAGGCAAAACCUCACCUGAAUACUCCUCUUUCUCAGACACAAUCCAUUUCCCAUCGAACGCUUCAUCAAACGACUCGUAAAACUUCUACAGAUCAGCAAAACACAAUACAAUGCAUUACAGAUCAUCCAAACAAUCCAGUAAAAAACAAAAAUAACAACCAUAUGCUACACAAUACUAAUCUUACCAAAUCUGAAGAAGCAUACAGCUGAGAGAAAAAACAACAAGCCAAUAGCAAAACCGCAUAUUGCGCAAAGAUCUUCCUUUUACUUUCUUCCAUAACACACUACGGAAGAAGAUAAUACUCCAAACUGUAUCAGAGAUCUGGAAUUUGGAAAACCCUAAGGCGUGUUUGGGUGUUUUGGAUCAAGGAGAAGACGAAGAACACUCCAGAAGAACCGAGAGAGAAAAGAGUGAGAGAGGUUAGAAGGACGAGAUAUUCAAUUAGUAUAAAUAGAUCUCGAGAGAAAAAAGCAUCGACUUGUUGUAGCCAAUGGAACUUCAUGCCACGUGAAGUGAACCAAUGGGUGAUUGCCACGUAAGCAUGCGGACGAGGUUUAUGUACAAAUGCAGCGAAAUUUGGAUCGACGGUUGAGAUUGUUUUCAACUUGGCGCUCCAUUGGUCGCCCUUGACUAUUGUUUGUUUUUUAUCUUUAUAUUUACUUCCUAAUGGAUACUGUAAUGGAGUAUUUUGUUUUUUCACCUUAUGACGGAGUAAUACUGUAAUGGAGUACUUGCUAUAUUUUGUUUUGCGAAAUCAUAAUUUGAAAUUAGAUUAAUUUGUUGUUGAGUCAUAUUUGGAAGAUGUCUUUAAGUUGUAGAUAUUUUUCAUACAAAAUGAAUGAAAAUUAAUGACAUAAUUUAUGAAAACUACUAUAUUCAACAUUUUUGUCGAUCAAGCGAUAUCCAAAUUUAAACUAAAAAAAAAAAAAAAAAAAAGUCACCUGCAUUGACAUUCGAUCAUAUAUAAAUACAAAAUAGAUUUUUAAAAAAUUCUUAAUUAUUUAUUUUUUAUUGUACUUGCUAGCUAUGUUGCACGGACUUUUUGAUUUUUUCGUCGAAUCCAUCUCGAUGCAAUAUCGAUAUUGGUGCAGGUGCAUCUCCGAUUCGGCGGCCAAACGAAUCCAGACACUUCGACCAAAAUCAAAACAAAUUUGAGAAAAAACUGAGAGUUCGACCUUAAAAUAAAUUUACACAGUAUCAUUGUCUUCUCUGUUUAUAUAUAUUUGCUUAAAGUUCCAGGCCAAAACAGAGGGAAAAAUUUUGGCCUCUCACUUCGUCUUAGAAGACCGGCGACUAUAACUUCAAAGUAAAGAAAGAGACAAAAAUCUCAACGAUUCUUUAUUACUUAUAUUUCUAUUAGAAUCCAUACUAAUAUAGUAGUAAGAUAAUACUUUUUUUUUUUUUUGUUUCUGAAGGUAUUCCCACAGCUGGCAGCCGUGAGAUUAAUUCUCCAUUCCUCGGUCAGCGCAUUUUACGGUAAGGAACUAGCCACAGAGUUUGCUCCAUUUGCCAGAAGCGGGAAUCGAACCCCCGACCUCUUGCUUAAGGGACAUAGCGCUGAACCAUUAUGUCAACUCUGGUGGUUCGAGAUAAUACUCAUUAAUAAUAGAUAUAUAAUAGUAUUUAUUUGAUUUUUUUAGUCAAAUCUUCGCACCUGUAUUUAUACUCAAAUUCGCACUGUCGAAUCUUAAAAUUUAAUUUUGACGAAUACGACUCACAGAUCCUCAAUCAUCUUGAAUAUCCACACUCGAAUCUGAGCAACUUAGCUUGCAAGGCCUCGUUCUUUAAAAUUUUUAUCUUGUGUGAGCAACCGUCUCAACAUUAUUGGAAGGUUGAGAUUAAGGAUGUGCAUUGGUUGAUUCAAUUUGAUUUUGUGCAUUAUCGAUUCAGUUUAUCGAUUUUCGAUUUGUAAACAAGCUAAAUUAAUAAAUGAGCCAAUAAGAUAUUCAUUGUCGAUUUUUGGUUAAUCAAUUUUUGGUCUUUAUCGGUUCGUUUUCUAUUUAACCGAUAAGAAAAUACUCGCUUAAUUUUUCUUUACUUUCUCUUGUUUUCAUUUGUUCUACAGUAUCUUCAUGUAUAAAGUUUACAUAAAUUUUAUAAACUAAGACAACAACUAUAAAAUACAAAAUUCAAUAAGGUAUGUAUAUUGAAUCUAAAACCACUAUUAUCUAAGUGUGAAUAAAAAUAUAAUUUUAAUAUAAUAUUAUUGGAUUAUCGAUUUGACGAUCAACUAAAACCUUAAAAUCGGACCAAACCGAUAACUCAAUAAAAAAUCUAUAAAAUCGUUAACCCAAUAACCUAAUAUCCAUAAAUCAAAAAUAUUUUUAUGAUUCGAUUUAUCAGUUGAGUCGAUUUUGCACAUUCCUGAUCAAAAUUACAAAAAUUGACAAUAAAAAAAUUCUUGAUUAUUCUGCAACGAAAGUUUAGUUGCCAUGAUAUCAUUUUCAAAAUUUUCAAUUAUAUACGUACGUAAAAUGUGAGUUUCAUGAUUAUAAUGAAAUAAAUUUGACUUUUAAUUCAAUACGAUAUAAGAUAAUUGAAGAGGGACAGAGGGAUCUCAUGUGUUUUGUUAAAUUGUGAAGGUGACGUACACAUUAAUCAACUCUUUAUAAAAGUGCAUUGCUUGUUAGGUCAGGAAUCAUUAGAGGGGUAAGGUAAGUAGGUGGUCUUGAAAUUACGAUAUCCAAAACAUAAUUUAUCAGUGUUUAGUAGCUUAUUCAUGUAAUUAAUUAUUUUUAUUUGCUUAUAUCCUGUAAUGAAAUUGAGAAAGUUGAGAAAAACUCUUCUAUCAGAAUUCAAAUGUCACAAAAAGCUGCUCAUCUUAUUUUACACUUGACAAAUAUGAAACCAAAAUUUUCCUUUUUUUUUUUCACUUGACAAUUGAGUGUUCGUACUCUAUAUCAAUAUUUGAUUAAUUACAUAAUUUAUUUUUUGAAUAUGAUGCCUCCAAUAAUUAAAAAAAAUUAUUCCUCGAGACUUGAAGCCAAACUUUUAAUUUAAGGGCGAAGGAUUUUCAAUCAUUCAAUCACAAUCUAUGUUUGUGAAAUCAACGGUUAAGACCACACUUGAUAUUCUUUUUGUAAAAUUCAAGGCUCGUCUUUUAAUAUUUAUUAUUUAGACCGGCAGGGUCGAUUAAAAGAGCUUUGAAUUAUAUCUAUUGCCAUGCUUUAAAUAGUAUUUUGUCAUGAUUUAUUUAUUUUCGUUAUUUUUAAUUUGUUUAACUUUGUGUCAAGGGUCUAUCUAAAGUAAUUCUCUACCUUUCGAGCAAAGUCGAGUCUCGAAUUUCUAUAACAUGAGGAUACCACUAAAAAAAAAGAAAAAAAAUAUAAUAUUUAGCGGAAAUUAAUCCCUAAUUGUUUAGGUGAUAACUCAACAUUCAAUAAGUGAAGAAUUAAACCUUCUUGUAGCAGAUAAUAUUAAAGUUAAUAACUUAAAGAGAUAAUACCCACGAAAAUAUCUGAACUUUAACCAAAUUUUCAGUUGAGCAUAUUGAAUUUUGCGGGGAUCCUAUUACACACCUCUAUAUUUUUAAGUGGAAUUAAUUCCCCCUCGGACUUUUUUAAAGUGGAAUUAAUUGUCUCCCGUAAAGUUAUACCCAGUUUUGACGUCGAAAAGUGUGGUACACGCGCUAUUUCUUCUCCAUUUUAUCACUUUUCAACAUUUUUUUCACCAUUAUAACCAUAUUAAAGAUUCCAUAACUCAAAUUCCUCCUACAAAUCAAAUUCCAAAUGAUUCCGUCCAUUCCAACUCAAAUUUCAAAUUCAAAUUGAAAACUUUCAUUAAUGAAAUCUUCAAAUUUGGAAAUUGAAAAUGGAAACUGAAAAUGAAAAAACAGGAAACUAGAAACUGAUUUGCAGGGUUAGACUCUUCAGCUGCUCUGUGGUAAACUUGAAGGGAACCAAGCUCCUUUGCGUUCAGUAAUUAGAGGCCACAUGGUACCUCAAGAGAGCACAGCUCCCAGAAGCAAAGAUAUGUUCACAAUGUGGGAACAAAUCAUUCCAGCCCCCACAUAAGUCCUGUCGAAAUCGAAGAAAAAACUGAAAACAUUCAAUGGUAUAAAUUAGUGCUAGUAGUAAUGCAAAGUCAUUCAUGAGCCGCUAAAAAUAUAUAGCAAGUACAUACGUUUGCUUCCAAGCUUUCAACCCAGACGUGGGGAAGUUUUCAAAUCCACAUUGAACUCCACCAGAGUAGAACCACUGAAAGAAACUCCAUAAGAAGCUGGAUGAGAAAACUUUCAAGAAUCCUUUAACCUGUUUCCUGAAAAUUUGACGAACACAAUUUUCAUUUCUCAAGAAAAGCUACUGUGCCAAGGCAAGUUCUUCCUAAUCACCAUGAUCCUGCAUACCUGGCCAAUUUAUCUCCCUUGGGUAUAUGAAAUUGAAUUUGAAUUUGAAUUUAAAAUUAUUCAAAGUAUCAAAUUGAAUUUGGGUGUGUUGAAGAUGACUCAUUUGGAUGUGUAUAGUGUAAUUGUGUUCAAUUUUAAUUCAAUAAUGGAGCAAACAUUGUUAAAGACUCCAUUGUUGAAGAGAAAAAAGAGAGAAGAGAGAAGAGAAAGAAUGAACAAAAAAAAAAAACUUUGAAUAAUUAGAAAAUUUAGGGAUUGUCUGGCAAAAAAAAUGAGUUUAUAACGUUUUUUAACGUCUUCACACGCUCAAUGCGCGUGUUUAACACGCAAUUGUCCAAGUGACAGAUAUAUGUCAUUAAAAUAUAAAAAAAAAAAUCUAGGGGUAAUAGGAUCCCCGCAAAGUUCAGUAUGCUCAAAUGGUAAUUCGGUCAAAGUUCAGGUAUUUUCGUAGGUAUUAUCCCUAACUUAAAUGGUCACUCAACUUUGGACUUUUAUCCUAGAAAGUCACUUAACUUUGAACUUUACUCAGAAUGUCACUCAACUUUAGAUGUCUUACUAAAAAAGUCACCCAAUCCAUUUUAUUAUUUUUUUAAAACUAAUUUUUGCUAAUGUGAAUUUUUUUUAAUAACAAAAUUCUGAAAAAUACAAAAUAUUUAUUUAAUAAUCCUUUUACCCUUUCUUUCAUCUCUAUUUCUUUCAUUUGAUAACCUACCUACAUUUAAGCUUGAGAGCCUAUAGUAUUUCAAUAGUUAAUCUUUAGUUCAUAUGAUCUAAAGUUAUUUUCUUAAUUGAGAAUUUUUAGUUAUUGUGUUUGUAAUUCUUUAUUACAUUUUUGUUCAUAAAUUAUGUUCACACGUGAUAAAUUUUUUCUUAUUAAAUUAGGUUCAUAUUAAUUAGAAAUUUUAAGUUGGUUGAUUGAUCUGUGAAUUACCUAACCUCAUAAUUCAAGGGGUCAGUAUUCUUUCUCUUAUAUCUCAUUGACUUUUCACGCAUCCCUCUUCAUUAUGAUUUUGUAGGCUUUCCACUUAACUUUUGGUUUCUGAAAAGUUAUUCUAUUUUGGUUAGUCAAAGAAGUUUGUUUUUCACAUAAUAGCGUAGCUGUAUAUAUUUGCACAAAUUUUUGAGAUUUUUUUUUGAAAGUUAGUCACGUAAUAGUCCUUUUUCUCAUGAAACAAAUACAAGUUCUAACCCUUUAUUAUUUGAGAUUCAUUUGUUGUUCUUCGUUUCAUCUUUAAAAGUAAAUUUUUGAGACACAACCAUAAAUCGAGAUAAGAAGGAGAGGAGAAAUUUCUAAUUAGAAAAAGAGGAAAGAGGAAAAGCAGGAAGGAAGCUAGAAAUCUAACUCAAGGGAAAUGAAGGAUAAAAGGGUAAAAGAGUCAUUAAAUGAAUUUUUUAUAUUUUUUAAAAUUUUGUUAUUAAAGGAAAUUCCACAAUAAGUAAAAAUUAGUUUAAAAAAUAAUAAAAUGAGUUGAGUGACUUUCUGAGUAAAAUAUCUAAAGUUAAGUGAUUUUCUAAGUAAAGUUUAAAGUUAAGUGACUUUUGAGGAUAAAAAUUCAAAGUUGAGUGACCAUUUAAGUUAUUAACUCGAUAAUAUUAUAUGUACUAAUUUUAGAAAAUAUAUACAUCAAAUACUUCUCCAAAGAAAGGGAUUCCCCAAAGAAGAGUAAAAUGUAUGGUCUAUCUUUUUUAACUCCACUUAUAAAAUUACAUUAGAUAUAUUAUUAUUAUCGUAACAAAUCUCAUGUAUUUCAUUUUCAAACCUUUUUCUUUUCUUUUCGAUCUUUUUCUUAUCUCUUGUGAAAAGAAUGAUACAACUACAGUCAUAUUUUUAUAUAGGAUCACAAAAUCAAAUUACAUAUAAUAAAUUAAACUAACUGGAAAUAUGAUUUCUGAAAGGGGGAGGAGGUAGUUGAUUAGUUAACGCUAACGAGCUGAGAAUAAUCAAAACCAUUGCCAAGGGUACGUUGUGGUGGAUUGAAAUAAUCCAUCCACUCUUACUCAAAAGCUUGGGUUGGAGCUUUGGAAAAGAAAAAAGAUGUAGUAUUCCUUUUCUAUUCUUUAUUUGUUCACAUUUAAUUUGAAAUAUCUCUCGAGAAACAACAAACAAAAGAGCAGUUUUAUCAUACCAUUUUUAGUCACGAUAAAUUAUCUUUGAUUUUUUUAAUAGCCAUGUAAAAUUGAACAAUUAUUUUUAAUACAUAUGACAAAUAAAGAUAAACGAAGGGAGUAAGAACUUUUCUUUAGGAGGGAAANNNNNNNNNNGGAAAGAGUCAAAAACACCUUAACUAUCCUAUUCUUUGUUUUGAGUUUCACACCUAAAAUUAUUGAAAGUUUGAUUGAGUUUCAUGCUUACUCCCACUCUAUAAUUAGAGAAACACAACUACUACUCUUUUAAAAGGAUUGAAACACUUUCUUUAAUGAAUUUCAAUAAAUCACCGUCCGAUGCGUUAAAGUUCUCCACCAUAAGCAAAGAAAGAGUCGGGCUGGCCUCAUUGUACAUUUUUGCAAGGCUAUUUCCAUGAUUUUAACCGGUGACCUCUCGACUAAUUCAGAAUUCCUCGCGGUUUAUUGGAGGGGUCGUCUGGACCAUUAUUGUGAUAUUUAUUUCAACAAUCCUCCAUAUUGCUCCAGAGCUGCAUGACAAGUAGAAAAAUUAUCAAUACUAGAAACUAGAAAGUUGUAAUAUAAUAUAAUAUUCAAGAAUGAACCAUCAAAGCAUGUGGUGCAGCUGAUGGAGAUGUUCCUUCCUUAACCAGAAAUCUCGAAUUCGACCCCGGGUAUAGAAAAAUCCUUCGUAGGGAGCGCUUCACCCGAAAAGCUGUGCGAAUCCAGAUUAGUCUGGCUUCAAUACGGGUACCGGACAUCUAAUGAGAAACCAAAAAUAAAUAAAUAUUCAAGAACGAAAGCCAAAAGAACUUGGAACUGGAACUUGUGAUCCAAAUUUGAAUAUGGUAAAACUAGGAAAGCCAGAGUUAUCUGAACUCAAACCCCCAAAGCUGCUCUUUAAUUAAGCUGCAAUUAUAGCAGCAUAGCUACAUGAGCAGCCAUUGAGGGAGAGAGUUCAGAAAACUCUGAAUUUCCAUUAAUGUCUCUUGCACAUAAUUUAAACUUUGUACGUAAAAAAAAAAUGCACAUAUAACUAAUUAAAGAGGAGCUAGAUUGAGAGUUCACGUAGAGGUAGCAAUCUAUUUAUAGGUAAUUUUGGGCCAACUUAAUUACUUAAUAUUUAAUUUUAUAUAUGUAUAUGUCUGGAAAUCAAGUAAAUAUAUUAAAAUGUGAGCAUUGUAUUUUUGCUGCUUCCUUUUGUUCUUUUGUAAAGGAAGUGUUACUGCUGAUGAAAUUGCCUCCACGACUACAAGUCUGAUACUAAAAGAAAAUUACCAAGGAACUUCACGUUAUGUUCCUUCCUAGAAUGUACUGUGAAAAUUCUAACAAAAUUAAUUGGAAAUUAAUUAAGAAAAUGUAAUUCCAGGUGAACAUUACUUCUCACUGAUAUGGAUUAAAAUAGACCACUCUUUCCCCUUUCUUCUCUUCUUCUUGUUUUCUAUUUCUACCCCGUUUAUAAUUUUAUUGUUCUCUUGUUAAAUUAUAAGUAUCAAACAUGUUAUUAUUGUGUUAUAGUUUAAAAAGAAUUCUACAGAGUGAUACUUGACCAAACUUCAUUAUAAGUAAUUACCUUUUAGUAAUUUGAUAAUAUUUUACAUCAAUGCUAUAAUAUUUGAUGUAGAUUGAAACGAAGAAAGUAUUAUUUAUGGCCAAACGAAUUUAGUACUUUAUCUGUUUUAAUUUGUUUAUCUUAUUUUGUUUUGAUAUGAAGUUUAAGAAAAUUAGUAGAACUUUUGAAUCUUGUUAUUUUGAACUAAAAAUAUGUCCAAUUUACCAAAAUGGGAUGAAUUACAAUGAAGCAAAACUCCUUUAUUUACAGGGGAAAACUAACCUUGAGGUUUGUAACUUUUCGAUAAAUAGAUAUACACAAUAUAUGAUAAACUAGGUAUUCACUAUAUAUGGUAAAGUAGACAUUUAUUAUAUAUGGUAUAUUUAUAACACUCCCCUUGAAUGUCUAGUUGGUAGAUAAUGUGUCUCGUUAAACUUUACUAGAAAAAACCAGUGGAAAAAAAAUCUAGUGAAGGAAAAAAAGUACACAUCUCUAACAAUACGCAUAUAGGCUGCCUCAUUAAAAACCUUAUAAGGAAAACUCAGUGGGACAAAACCUCAUAAUUGAAAAAGAGUACAACGUGUAUUAAUUCCCCCUAAUGAAAUCAUCCUUGAACCUUUGCAUCCCGACCUUGUACACCAUCUUCUUGAAAGUUGCAAUUGAAGGAGACUUGGUGAAUAAAACAACCACAUUGUCACUUGAACAAAUCCAUUGCACGUUAAUAUCACCAUUAAUAUCACCAUUAUGUUGGUGCUCAUGUAUGUAGAAAAAUUUUGAUGAAGUGUGCUUCGUUCUAUCUCUUUUUAUGAAUCCUCCAUCAAAAUGUGUUAUGCAUGUUGCAUUAUUUUCAUAUAAAAUUGUGGGUACAUUGUCACAUUUCAUGCCACAUUUUUCUCGAAUGAGAUGUCUCAUGGAUCUCAACCAUACUCAUUCUCGGUUUGCUUCAUGAAUAGCUAUUAUUUCAUCAUGGUUCAAUAAAGUGUCUAGAUAGACUGCUUUGUAUAUCUCUAAGAUAUGACAAUAUCCCCACAUGUGAACACAUUGUAUAUUUGAGACCGAGCUUUAUGCGGGUUAAAUAAAUACCCAACAUCAGCAUAACCAAUAAGAUCGAGACUGCAAUCUUUAGAAUAAAACAAGCUCAUAUGUUUGAUCUCAUUUCGAUGUAUCCUAGUAGGAGUAGAACUAUACCUUGCUAACAUAUUAACCGAAAAGGCUAUAGGCCUUUUAGUAUUUGCAAGGUACAGGAGUGCACCAAUUGCACUAAGAUAUGAUACUUCAUAACCAAUCCAAAUUGGUAUAUUUCUCAUUUCAGCAAAUAAUCUAUUUGCUUUUGAAAACUCUCCAAGAGUUUCAAUAAUUUUCAAGCUAUAAGCUUAUACAAUAUAAGGAUUCUAAAUAAGUUUUCGAGAAACUUUUAUAUGCUUCAAGUAUUUUGAAUCCUUAAAAGUUUUUCACAUAAGAUUUGUCAAGUAACAAUAUCCUGUUGGGUUCAAAAUCGAGAGGGCGUCAUGCGAAAGCUUAAAGUUUGCAAACCUUGAGACAAUAAAUUAGACAACAAAGAAAAUGAUACUAAAAAGCAUUAAAUUAUUAUAUGUUUUGACCAAUUGGCCUACAUAUUAUAAAACCUAAUAUCAAAAAACAUUAAACUUAUUGGGAGAAAUCUCCCCCUAAACAAAGACUCUUUAAAAACUACAUUGUGGAUGCUGUUGUGUUAUGAUAUGAGAAAAGGGUCUUCUAUUUAUAGGGUUCCAAAACCUUUCCUCCAAGAAAGAGGUUAGUCAAAUAUGAAAAAGUUUUAUAGUUUCUUUUCAGAAAAAAUAAAAGUAAAUAUGGUUACUCUUAUUAGUAAAUAUGGUUACUCUUAUUUUCCGUUUAAGAAAAAGUAAAACUUAAUUUUGGUAAGAAAAUCAGGGCAAAACCCCAACAUAUCCAACAUUUCAUGAGCGACAUCUUCAAGUGUCUGGAGUGCAAAUCAAAUAAGUUUUACGCUUACCAAAAUGCAUCAUUUCAUGUCACUUGAUAAUGUUUCUACGUCAGCAUGCUUAAAUAAACGUAGAAUUCAGAUCCUCGUAAUCUUCACAAUAUUGCACCAAUAUUGUAUCAAAGAUAUCGUCAAUGAUAUAUCAUUUUAUAUCGGUUCACAAUGUGACAUAACAUUUUGAGAUCUCAUCACUUCAUUAUUUUCAGGUACCUGAACCUUUCAUAAGGUUUAAGGAAGUGUUAUGUUGUAGACUCUUCAAAAGCACAUUACGUUCUUAUUAUGAUUAUUUGCUCUUUAUCCUUUUCAAGGAUUAUUUCAUUUAGAACCGAUUGGUCUAUAAUACUUCACACAUGCAUAAACUUUAUCCUUUAGGAACACAAAAUAAGAGUACUUGCACUUAAUAUGAGAUGUUUUCGGCAUUUGACUUGAAUUAUCUUUUGGAUGAAGAUCUGGUGAUAAUUCCCAACAUAUUUCAUAGCGCUUAUAAUCUCCUCCUUAUGUUAGGAAAACUAACAUACAUCCAUUACUUCUUUGAGGAAUCCAUCUUUGUGCAUUAUGGUAUAUUCAUUAAUCGUAUACCGCACAUCAAAAUUAUUAGAUGGAAUAAUCGGUUCCCGACCUUGAACCAAUUGAGAGGGAAAAAAUAAUCAUAAUUUAUUGGUCUAAUGCAUACAAGUGCUAUUGCAAUAUAUCAUAUUUCAGACCAAUACAUGAAGUUUUGUUCUCAUUAACAAUGGUUUAGAUAUUUAUUGAAGACAUUCAAUGCUCAACCAUUAUCAUCAAGAUGAAUUAUCUUGAUUACACAAUCUGAAAGUCAUGCUUAACUCAAUUUUAUUGAGCAAGCAACUUUAUGAAUGUCAAACUGCAGGUUGACAAUAAAUGUACAUGUGAUCAUCUUAUUGAUGCAUCAUUUUAACACAUCACAUGAUAGAUGAACUCAGAUUUACUAUUACAUGAAUAAAUUUCAGAUUUACUACUUCAGAAGUAGAUUUCAAAAUUAUUCAACCUCUUUCGGAGGUGAGGUUAUUCAACGACAAAAUCAUUUAAUAAGUUUCUCAUUCCCCAGUAAUGGAAUAUAAUCAUGCCUUAAGCCUAUCAAAGUAUAAUAACUUAUAACCUCUUUCAAGAUUUUGCUACUUCAGAAGCAAAUCAAGGCAUAUAUAUGAUGUAGAGAAUUUUUCUCUAGCAUAUCUUAUAAUCAUAUAAGCGUGUGAAAAUAUCAUCACUUUUGAUGAUCAUUAUCAUACUGUCUCUCUACACGUAUAUUCGUACAUUCAAUCACUUGUCUUCUUUCGGAUAUAUUAUGUACUGCUACCACAUACACCUCAAAAAUGAAGUAAGUUGUCAUAUUUCAGACUUAUCAUAUAUUGCUACCACAUUCACUUCAUGAAAUGGAGCAUAUUCAAUGGAUCGAAUUUCAUGACUUUUCACCCAAUAUCUUAUCAUCAUAAUGCAUCAAGACUUUAACUCAAUAUCUUUUUGAUGUGAUGAUUAUUCAGUUCACCAUGUUACCCUCGAUUAGUGACAUAAUAGUCUAGAGUAUAAUAGUGCAACUCAAUUAGAAAUAACUUAAACAUGAUAAAAAAAAUUUAGAAAGUACGUAUGUACUCGUUAGUUGGUGCAAAAACACUAUACAGAAACUUGAAAAUUGAUUAUAAAAGCUGUCAAAGAAUUAUAAACAAACUUUUAAAAAUCAACUAAAGCCAAUGUGAUGACAGCAUAUUAUUAAUAUUUUAUUCCUGUGAGUGGCCGUCCAUCUUAUCAUAAAUGCAUAUCUUACCAUAAUUUUGUGUGCUUCACUUGGAGCACACAGUGAUCAAUUUCAUAGACUCGUGUUGGUUGCUUGGUUGAGAAGAAACUUCACACAUUUCAUCAACAAGUUCAGUAGUAGGCUCGUGUUGGUUGCUUGACAUGUUAAUGAUCAAACAUGUUAAGCCGAUUGAAAAUAUUUGACGGCUUUAUCUCAAUUACUCAAUUGGUUACAGUUUCGUGCUGAUAACGUGUUAUAAAACAAGAAAGAAUAAAGAAGAGUAGAAAGAAUAGAGAGAGUAAUUUUUAUUUCUCUUGAGGGAUCUCUCGAUGGGAUAAUUACAAUGAAGCAAAACCCCUUUAUUUAUAGGGAAAAACUAACCUUGAGGUUUGUAGUUUUUUUUAUAAAUGAACAUACACAAUAUAUGAUAAAGUAGGUAUUCACUAUAUAUGGUAAAGUAGACAUUCACUAUAUAUGGUAUUUUUAUAACACCUAGGAACGAAUUUUGAAAAAACCAACUAAUCUGUGUAAUGACCCCCGAGCUGGCUCUUUUAUUUUUGAACCUGGCUAAUUUAUAUAUCUGUAAAAAAAAAAACUAUAUUUACAUUAAAGACUGAGAAAAAGUCCCACAACAACUGCGGUUAAUUAGAUGAAUGAUCUCUUUACAAUGCGUGACAAUUCUCUUCCAUUCGAACUAACUUUUUUGGUGUGAGUUAAGCUCAAAAUCUAAUUUUACAUCAUAUUAGAAAAGGACCCAUCUCACGUUGAGACUCCAAAUUAAAAAUUACCCAUGCAUCAGAUGACGACAUGAGGUGAGGUGUUAAAGAAUGAAAAAAGUACCACACUGAUAGUUGUGUGGGUUAGACCUAAAACCUAAUUUUACAGGUCGUUUAGAGAAACUGGGCUGGACAGGGUCUUGAUCUUACAUGGGCUUUAAGUGGAAAUUAGGUCGGCCCGGCCCAUUUAAUGUUGCAAUCUAUCAGUCAAUCUCAAAUGGGAAUUUCUGUCGGCCGUCGCUAUCUUUACCUACGUGCUGAAUAGUGAGCAGUUACUCACCAUUUUGUGUGACCUGAUUUGGAGGAUCAGUUCAUUUUUUCCGUAUGAAUUUGAACAUUGAAUAUUCUAAUUUUUUUUAAUAUUUAGAAAUUAUUAUACAAAAAUACUACAGCCUUAAGACACAAUAGUUAAUUACUUAAAUUAUUUAAAAGUAUUUUGAAAAUGUGAUAAAAGAAAAUAGUAACUACUGGUUUAAGGAAAAAAAAAGAAGAAAAUAUUGACUUAUAACAUCCUCGGAGAUACCCCAGAUUUACUGUUUACUACCUUUUUUUUUUACAUUAUCUUAUUAACAGAUUAUGUGCAUGUUAUACAUAGAUUAUAUAUACAUAUAUUAUAUAUUCACAAGCUAUUUUUAAUUUAACUAGUUGAGUGUGUGCUUAUUCAAUUUAAUUCUCCAGAAUGUAUAUUUAAUAAUGGAAACACUAUAUAUGCACACUUUUGCUACUCUAUAAAUCAUUCAUCUUUUAAGUUUCAAGAAUUUUUUGACCUUUUAGCAGACAGAAAUAGCGUCUUUAAUUUGCUUUUCAUGAUAAUUGUUUGAAGAGUAACUCAUAAUGUUUUGUAGAGCAUGGUUGUGAAUCAGAAAAUAACAUUGUCUCGAUAUAUAAGAUAAAGUUAAUUAUUAAUCAGAAGAACUUUUUAGAUUCAUAUUUUACCAAAAAAAAUAAUUUAAUAGAGGAUUGGAACUUGUGAAGAGAGGUAGAAGCAUCAAUUCUGCGCUGACGCUCGUUUUUCCAAUGUAUUGUCAAUAUCCAUUCUGAGGGUUGUUACUAUAUGUGCAUGUCUUAUCUCUUUUAGAUCUGUUUUUUUUUUUUUAAAUGUUAUUUUUAUAUGUUGGUAUCUUCUUAAAUUUAGCAUUUCAAAUGCCACAAGAUUCAAAGAACGUUUUUGUGUGUUAAACACAUCCUUAGUUUUAGGUCGCCAAAAUUCAAAAAUCAUUUUUACUUUCUUAAAUACAAAAUUAGUUUUAGGUCGAUAAAAUUCAAAAGUAUUUUUUACUUUCAUAAAUUCCUCAUGCUUAGUCUAACUAAUAAGACACAUUUUAAUAUAGCUAGGGCGCAUGCAAGUGCUUUUGUUCUGAUUCUGAAAAUUUCCACAUAGCUUUAAGGCUUUUCAGAUCCAAUCACUCACAUAUAUAGCUGACUAAUUAAAGAGGGGGAAUUAAAUUAAGCCCUAGUUAUGCAGCAAAAAUGAUUUUAAACAUUACCAUUAUGUUUAGUUCAGUGGAUCAGUUAGCUAGUUACUUCAUUUACAGUUAAUUUGUAAUAACUAAAAUGAACUUAAGUUAAAACCAAUUUUUGAAGAAAUAUUAAAAGGUACUAGGUUGAGUCCGACAUUUUAUUUUAAAAAGUAGGUUCACAAUGAAACUCAACUGUUUUCUAGGGUUACUUUUAUAUAUAUAAAAUAAAAUUUUAAAGGAAUCACAUCGUUUUCGUAAUGUCCAGACUUUUUCGUUACUCUCCCCAUUUUUUUUAAUACGUGUCCUUCAUUUUUUGUGAGUCAAUUUAGUUAAGUUUCAAAGUUAAAUUAAAUUUGAUUAAUUUAACUGUUUAAAAUUAAAAUUCAAAAGCAAUAUGCAAAGCACUAUAACUUAUAAUUUUUCUUUUUUCUUUUUCAAUUUGAUUAAUAAUACUUCUUAAAAUGUUGGUCAAAAUUUAUAUUGUUUGGCUCUAAAAAGAAAAAAGAGUAUAUAAAAAAGAAUGGAGGAAGUAAUAUUUAAACGACUACCUUUGUACUAGUACCUUUUUCUUGAUAUUGAUCAGAAAAUGACAAAUAAAAAGAGCUUUUAAUUACUGUCUGAUUGGAUGCAGAAAUAAAAUAAUACUAUUUAAAAUUAAGUAUUUACAUAUUUAUGUGUUUUAAAUACAUUGUAGAAUAAUUAGACUUUGUGUGAAUAUAAUUAUCUUCUAAAAGAUAAAAUGAGUACUUUGAAGUUAAUUUUUUUUUUAAAAUCAAUUUGUUUGUCUUAAUUUUAUUUGCACAUGGUUUAAAAAGUAAAAGAAAUAUUUUUAAAUUUUAUAAUCUUAAAUAAAAGAUAGUAUGUAUAAUGUACUAAAUAACCUUUAAUCUUGUGAUUUUAAGCACAACAUAUAAAAUGGUAAAAUCAAACCGAGUCACAUAAACUCAGACCGAAAGAGUGUUCAUGGUAUCAAAUAUAAUUCUUCAAUAUAUAGGAACUAAUAUAUCCCUUCGUUUAAAAAAAUAAUUGAAUUUUAUAAUUUUAAAUUUAAAAUAUAUGAAGUGUAUUAAAAUGAUAUUUAAUCUAAGAUGACUCUAGUGGUCUUAAAUACAUGAGGUAAAAGUUAAAAUUAAAGUGUUUCCAAAGAGAUGGAGCAUGAUUUUUGAAGGAGUAGAGUUAAUUAGUUGACUGGUUAUUUGACUUAUAAUUGGGAGAUGAAAGAAGAAUCGAAAACUAUCAUAUUCUAGCUCUUAUUAUGAAUGAAGCAGUAUUUUGUACAGUAUAAUUUUACAGGAAGAAAUUUUAAUUGAACCUAUAAUUCUUCAAAAUGAGCUUUGCAACUGUGCCAUUAGCUGUGCAUGAUAAGCAGAAGAUCAAUUUAAAAGUGGUAAUUAAUAUAAUAAUAUUCCAGGAUAUAUAAGACAAAAAUUAAAAAAGUAUGUGUAAGGAACUUACUGUACGAACUUAGCCUUUGGCCUGGCAAUAGUGAAUUGAUCUGAAAACUAGGAAGGCCAGAGUUUCCUGAACUCAAUCUCUCAUGGCUGUUCUUUAAUUAACAUAUAUACGAGCAGCCAUUGAGGGAGAGAGUUCAGAAAACGCUGGAUUUCCAUUAAUGUCUGCGCGCACUCUAGCGGCGAAUCACUUCUGAAUUCGUAUAAAGUUAAUGUAAAAAGAAGCAUAUACACAUAUAUAAGCUUUGUAUCUAUAUAUGUGUACUGUUGAAUAUAUUAGCCUAUAAGGUAGAACUGAACUGAGGAGGAAUCAAGUAGCUUGGGAGUUGUGGCUAAUGAACUAUUUAUAGGGUAUGUCCCAGCCAAUUAAUUUACUCCUCAAUAUAUUCUAUUGUUGUUUCGAAAUUGGAGAAAUAGUAUAUAUAUUUAAUAUUAAAUUAAAAAGUAUAGCUGUAACCUUGUUCAUUCCAGCCCUCCGUUAACUAUAUUUUUCCUUUUUUUUUUUUUACAAGAAAGUGUUGCGGUGUGGUUUAGGUAAAUCCCACUUUAAUGUAAUAGCCUGCCAAUUAUACCUGAGAUGCAAAUUAAACUAGACAAAUUAUGUACGAAGAUCAGAACCCAAAAACUUAUGUAGGCGAUAUUGAACUUAACAACCCCCCUCCUCAAUCAACUCACCAUCUGUUGGAACUUUGAAGUUUUGAUGAAUGACAAUAUUAAUGAAACAAGUUGAUAUGAGUUAAUUCAGUGCAACCGGAAACUUCAACUUACUGAUGGAACCUUGAAGUUUUGAUGAAUGAAAAUAUGAAUGAAACAAGUUGAUAUGAGUUAAUUCAGUUCAACCGGAAACUUCAACUUACUGAUCACAUGAGGAAUAAAACAAGUUGAAUUUGAUUCAAACACUUAUGAUAAGGGAAAGCAAGUUGAGUUGAAAAAGGAGUCCUACGUAAAGAAGGAGUUUCACUUCUGAGCAUAUCCUGAAGAGUCUAUGCUGAAGAGUCCUAUGUGUAAAAAGAGAAAGAUUCUACAGAUUGAAGAUGUCUACGCAAGAUAGGAAACAUAUAAAUUGAAGGACUCUUUGUUAGAUCAAUGAAGUGUUUGAUGACUGACACAUGAAUGGAACAUGUUACUUGACCUGGUCCAAGCAUAGGAAGGCAGGUUUCAGGUUUUACUGAUAGAUGCAGACAAAGAUUGCUGAAAGUCAGGAACGAAUGAGCAAGCCUAAUUCUGAUAUACUCAAGACACUGAUCACGUGAGAAAUUGAAGAGGUUGUGGUUGAGUAAAAUACUUGAAGAUAAGUUGAUUUAAAGAGUUGAAGUUUGACUACAACACUAAGGAGACAAGAGUUAGAAUUAAAGAAGGAGUCUCACCACCUACACGUCUUACUUUUACUGUUAUAUCGGAAGUUACUCCACGUAUUACUUGACGUAAAACGGAUAGUGGAUUUGAUUCUGUCUUUUGAUGAAUCUUUUUCACGGCUCGAUAGAUAAUUUGAUAAGCCAAUGAUUUUUUUUUAACUCUAUGUAAUGAGAGUUUUGAUUAAAGGAGGAGUUUAAAAUAAAGAAUGACUCUUUGGAGAGCUGUGCUUAAAUAGAAGAUGCAUCAUUCGGAGUAAUUCACGCACUUACAAAGCAGAAAAGCACAAUCGACAGAUUGACUACACGAAGUGCUAUUCAAUCACUGAAGAAACAUAUUGAAGAACCAGGUCCUAAGUAUAGAAUCCAGCUAAGAGUUUUAGCUAUGAUUUUUAGAGUUGUUCAUUGUGUUUGAGCUAUUGAUGUAAUAUUAGUUUCAGUGUGUUAUAAAAUGAAUUAGGAGAUAGUCUUCGAGUUGGGGAAAACUCAGAGACUUUGGGAACGCAUACCUUUGAGAGGUGUGUCUAGUUAGGAAUUAGAGUUUAUAAUUCCUAGUCGUUAAGUUAAAACGUUUUGUAAUCCGUCGUUGUUGAGGCUCAGAGUUAUUUAGUGAAGUUGGGAUUAAAUCCUGUAGAGGUGCAGGUCGUGGUUUUUUACACCUUUUGAGCUGGGUGUUUUUCACGUAAAAAUCAUUGUAUUCUUUACUUUCUGUUUUACUGCUUCCUUGAAGCACGUCAGUGUAACACGUCAGGCAACCCGUUCUAUCGAUAAAAAAAUCAUUGUAUUCUUUACUUUCUGUUUUACUGCUUCCUUGAAACACGUCAGGCAACCCGUUCCAUCGAUAAGCAACAGUUAGGCAAAAGUAAGAUAAUCAGUAGGACACGAACUCUAACACCAUCACCCAAAUAGUAAAGAAGAACGUGUUAUUGUUGGUUGAUAAACUUCUAAAGUCCCUCCAAAAAUCUGGUCCUCAAACAAAUUUACUAAGAAAUUUCACGUUAAAUACUUAUUAAAUAUCCCUUUGGAGAGGGAAUGGGGUACGAAAUUUCUGCCAAACUUGCACCUAAUUAAGAAAAGGUAAUUCCAGGCAACCAUUACGUGUCAUUGAUAGGGAUUACAAAUGGAGUGAUGGACCACUCUUUCUUCGUCUUAUUACUUUCUUUUUUUUUUUCUGUAAAUUUUCAUGCAUAUAUAUGAUGUUAUAUUCAUUUCAUUUUAUCUGUCUUAGUUUGAUUGGAAUAUUGUGAACAAAUUUUUUUGAGCAGUACCUUUUAAUUCUCUGUCUAGAAUUCGCCUUCAAUAAAUUGUGAAAGCACACUAUAAAAUGGGGGUUGGUUUUCCAAGUUCAAAGGAUCCUAGGACAAGAAAGUAAACCAAAAUAUGAGAGAUACCACUAUCAUAAGAGGAAUCGACUACUCUUUGGUGUCUUUGAGUUGACGAGGAUGUCCACGUUAAUUUGGAUUGACUUCUAAUUGUUAGGGUUUUUGUCCUGAUUUUUUUGCUAUAUUUAAAUUUUAUUUUUUCUUAGAAGGAAUAUAAAAGUUACCAUAAUUACUUUUACUGAAAGAAAAAAUAUAAUUCGUUUCCAUAUAACCUCUUUUUUGAGGAAAAGAUUUGGACAUCUAUAAAUAGAAUAUCCCUUCUCAUACCAUAACACAGUAGCAUCCACAAUGUAGUCAUUAAAGUCUUUGUUUAGGGGAUUUUCUUCCAAUAGAUUUUAAAUUUAUUUUAAUUUAGUUUUAAAUAUGUAGGCUAAUUGGUCAAAUCAUAUUCAAUAAUAUAUUUUUAGUAUGUUUUUUAUGUCAUUUGAAUUAUCACCACGAUAAUUUACAACUAAUAGCUUCCGCAUAACGCCCUCUCGAUUUCGAAACCCAACACUAAUUAAUAAACAAAAACAACACUUCAAUUUAAUUUAAUUUAAUCUCAGUAAUUUGUUGUGAAAAGUCUGGUUAAGACUUGCGACAAAUGGACCUCGGAUAAAUCUUUCUUUUCACAUAUAUAUGCCCUAGUUAUGCUCUGACAUUACUAAUAUCGAAGCUUAAAUCUUAAUAGACGAGACUUGUAUGGUUAUUAUAUUUAUCUACUCAUGUUACUAGUACUUUUGUUUUAAUUUUUUGUCCGAUUUUGAGUUGACACAAAGUUUAAGAAAGUGAAGAAAACUUUUAAAUACAUAUUUUUAAAUUAAAGAUAUAUAGAAAGUACUAGAUGUCCUUUAAUCUUGUCAUCUUAAACAUAAAACAUGCCAUGUAGAUAGUUAGAAUUAAAGAGUCGUUGAAAAAAGAAAUUGACAUUCUUUUUGAAACAAUUUUUUUUAAAAAAUAACUAAAACAAACAAAUUAAAAUAAAGAAAGUACCUAGUAAAAACUUAAACGCGUCCGCGGGUGUAUACACCAAACUAAAGUUUUUUAUCAUGGUUAAGUAAUUAAAUUAAAUAAAAUACAUGCUAAUUAAUUAUGAUUAAGUAACAUGAACUCAAAAUUCAAAUACAUGGUAUACAUGUAGCAAUUAUUAUGAACAGUUAGUUAUAGCUAUAUUUCAGUUUAUUUGAUAUAGUAUAUAAUAAAAUAGUCAUAAAUGUCGUGUCGUGGCAAGUCACUGUCUUGAAAGUGAUUGACUCCGGUGCAAAUCCUUCUAGCCGGUCGCUCCCAAAGUUCCACAGCUAUUUCCAAAUACGUGCAUUCGUGAUUGAAAGUUUGGAGGUUGCUCAAAAUUAUUGCCCAAAAGUAGAGAACUUAGGAGGAAGAUAUUUUUCUUUUACUUUGUUGGUGGUGUAUUUUUUAUUCUCAAAUAAAGUGGUUUAUAUAGGUAAAGAACAAAGGAUGUUACAAGAGUGAGUUAAUGGUGAAUUGAAUAAAGUUACUCCUCACCAAAUAAAUUUAUCCGUUCAAGGAAUGAAUUAACUUAUCUAGAACUAACUCAUCAAAUAAAUUCUUACGUUUAAGAAGAAUUGAAAACACACAGUUACAAAAGAAAUAAUAAGUUACAUUUUCUCACUAUGUAUCUUGUAAAUGUAUUUGAACUUCUCUUUUUGGAUAAGCUUAAAGAAGCUUUAGGUUUUGACUUUACAUUCUAACCAUUUAUUAAAAAUGCUUUCAACCAGCACUUAUACUUGUAACUACAUAAGUGGUCCAAGUUACCUGCUUAAAUCGCACUUAAUUGUUUUUGACAACCCUAAGAUACAAACUCUUAUUUGCUAAAAAAAAUGUUUUGCAUGAAUUGAUUUUGCUAUUUGCUAGGCCCAAUCAUAAUAUCUGAACUAUUUUCUUAACUAAAAAGAAAAAAACCUUGGAAUUCUUGUUAUGGUUAUUGUGCAAGCUCUCUUGUCUUGUUAUAAUUUGAAAUAUUGGCGUCUAAAAUCUAAAUUUAUGCAUGGCUCGUUGCUUUUUUCCCUUUUAAUUUGUCCAUUUAUAAAUUUGUAUCAUUAAAUUGGAAACCAACCGAAUUACAUAGUAACUCAUGUACUAUCCAAAGGGGUGCCAAUGCUCUAACGAUUAUAAGCAUCACAGACAAUCGGAUAUAUAGGUGGUUAAUUAAUUAGAGAGAUGCCAUAUUUUAUGGAUGGCAAAUCAGAAUUAUGUAGGACUUUAACAAAUAAUUAGACAAUGAAAUAUCAAAAGAAAACAGAAAAACUUUACCUGAUCAAUAAUACAAUCGCACCAAUUACUACUUACCAGAUUACUAUAGUCUAUAGAAUAUAUAUUGAGUUUCUUUCUGACUAAUAUAUAACAAAAGGAAGAAACCAAUAAAGUUCUAAAGGAACCUUUUCUUUUGGACUGUAUAUGCCUCCACCCCCCUCUUCCCACACACCCCACCCCCUCACCCCUUCCCUUUUUUUUCACUCGAUGUUUGAUAUUGUCAGGGAUGGAUCCAGGAUUUUCAGUGAGGGGGUUCAGUAGUACAUAUACGGAUUAAUCGAAGGGGGUUCAGCCUCUAUUAUUUAUGCAUAAUUUUUUUUUUUUUACCAUGUAAAAAUAGUAUAACUUUCCGACGAAGGGGGUUCGAAUGAACCCCCUGGAAUAUAUGUACAUCCACCACUGGAUAUUGCUAUUAGGGUCUGAUAAAAUUCAAAUUCACUCCAGAAAGUCCUAUAUUGAGGCCAAGCGGCUUCCUAGCAAAGGUUGCUCCAUACCUAGCAAGGCUCAACUCAAAGACCUUUGAUUAAACAUAAAGGACUACUUGGUGUUCGGAUUGUGAUAGACGAGAAUCAUGACUUUUAAAUGUUUUGACCUAAUAAUUAGUGCUUUUUACCUAAUGUGCGAGUUAAUAUGUAUAUUUUAUUUCAAAACACUUAGAGAUUCUAUAUCUAAAUUCACUGUCAAAAUUAAAAAGAUUUAUCUUUGAAAUUCAACCUAUAUGACACAUAAAUUAAGACAGGACGCGUAUACAUAUAGGUUAAACUACGUUGAUCGUGCACACGAAUUUUUGCUUCCAAAGCAUAUAUACUAUACCUUAAAUCCCAUAUGUAUGUUGGUACGUAUUCCUUCCUUCAUCCCAUGCAUGCAUGGUUUUUCUAUUUCCUUUUUGAAUACACUGUAAAAUGAUCUACAGAAAAGAGCAAGGCUUCAAGAGCCUCGCAAGCUUCCAACAUUUCAACGCCGCAGCAAAAGCAAAAACAGUAACUAGGUUAUUAUUAAUUAUCUGACAGGUAAUGCUUUGUGCAUCAAACUGUUUUUUUAAUACUACUUGCUAUAGUAGUAGUGAGCUGGAAGCUGAAAUAUUGGAAGCCUUUAAGGGCCAUUGAAAACUUCUCCAAUAUACUGAGAAAAAAAAAAAACAUCUCUUUUUGUUCUCACUGCUUGGCUCUUUGGAAGAACCAGCCAAGAAACUAACCAGAUGUAUAUAGCUAGGUCCAGAGCCUAUAGUAAUAGUAUUAAUUAUUGGACUCAUCAGUCUAAUAUUUGGUGAUCUAAUUUACCUGACAUCACAUGAGUACUGGAUUAUUACUUUAUCUAAUCACUACUUUAAUUUUAAUGACCAUGUAAAACAAGAUAGCCCUACGUGUCCCCAUUUGUCACUUCUAUAUAAAGUUUAAUUAAAGCCAUCCCACGUCCCAAUUUACAUGGGGAAAAACGUGAAGUAAAAUACCAGAAGGGUGCUCAUUCAUCAACUGAAGAGUCAAGAAUUAAAUAUGUUCUUGAAUUUUUUUCCAGCUGAAAAUUAAACAGGACUGGCUUAGGUAUAUAUAUCUUUAUUUAUUUAUUUUUUCUCUAGAGAUCUCCGACUUGAAGAUAUCCUAAGAUUGAAAAUCCUAAUAGCUCAGUUAAUUGAUUUACUAUAUGAAUUUUACUUUGUUAGUUAGAAUUGAUCAAUUUCCUAAUUCCCUAAUCCCUCCCCAUAAUAGUAAUGAAAAAAAAAAAAGUUCUGGGUUAAAGAAGUUGGCCACUACCUUGGGUAGAGUACGAGUCAAUAUCUAUGGGCCUGGAAAUCCACUGAUUUAUAUUUGUGUUAGUUUUCAAGCAGUAGGUAUUUGCCACCAUCACAUACUUUUUACACCCACUGUCCAUCGUUCUCUGGACCACAUUGUAUUUUUAUUUUUUAUACACCCUCAAACAGACAUGUGUUUUUGCUUUACUAAUUUUCUUUUUGGAUUUAAAAAAAGGAGUGGGGGAAGGAGAUGUACUCACCGUAAUUAUGAGAAAUUAAACCCUCACAAACAAGGUUGAAAUAGUUAAUCAACUAAGAUCCUCUUAUUGAAAUUUAAGUUAUAUAUACACCAUACAUAGUUUUCAAAAAAAAAAUCUGCAAUACUAACUAGCACCAUUCAAUCAAUUAUUAUAUGUUAUUGCGCUUUUUAUAGUAUCGGUUGCCAUAUUAAAUUUUUGGUGAGUAGUAACUUUUUGUUCAAACAAGAAGAAUAAUAUAUAUAGGAGUAUAUAAAAUCAUAAGUUUUAAAAGUAAACUAUCUUAUUUAAACAGUCCAGUCAAAUUAUGCCACGUAACUAAAGAUCCAUCAAGGGUCAUCAUCUAUUCCUAUGCCACCUCAGGGUGUCAAGUGGGUCGGGUACAAAUUGGCCCGGUGUGACCCGACCCAAUAAGCCCAAAGGCUUUAGGUAUCGGGUCCUGGGCCUUUUUUUAAAAUUUGAGCCCAAUUAACUCGGCCCGAACCAAGUUCAUUUCAGGCCCGUUGGUUAAUCGUUCCGGCUCGAUUUAAAAAAAUAAAAAUAAAAAUUGAAUUUUGGGUCAAACUGGCCGUUGGCCCAAUGACUAUAUAGCCGUUUUGGGGUCCGAACGGUUAAUUUGGGCCCAUUAAUUAAAAAAUAAAUACUUUUAAAAUAAUUUUUUAAUCCUAAAAUAAAUUCUAUAAAUACCCUACACCUUCAAAUCAUUUUUCACACAAUUUUUCACUCUCUCAAAUCUCAUUCUCUCUCAAUUCUCAAUUCUCAAAUAUUCAAUAUAUUGAAUUUCCUAAAGUGCUCACUUUAAUUUUGCGUUUACAAAGUACGAGUGGAAGUUUAUAAAUUCGCAAACUUCGGAUACUUUCAAAAUUUGGUAUUGUCGUUCCAUCUCUUACGUAUAAUUUUUAUUUAUUGUAUUAAUUGUUGAAUAUUUAAUUUUAUUAUAUUUGUAUAUUUUGAAUUUUUUUAGUUUAAUUUAAUUUAUACUAUGGAUAAAUUAAGAAACCUCACUACUAAAGGUGUUAAAAAAUUUUGUCCCGAAAAUGGUAGUGGUAGUAAAAAGCGAAUUACUAGUGGUAGAGGUACUUCAAGUAAUAGAUAUACCCAUAUGUCUUCGCCUCCGGUACUGCUUGGUACACCUUUUGAGGAAGAAAUAGGUAUAGGUGCUCACGAUAUAGAUUAUGUAGAAGCUCAGGAAAAUUACGGUAUAAAAGAAUAAAAUGAAGUAGAUGCGGUUAAUUUAGACGAAGAUGAUGAAAAUAUUGAUGAGACACCCGCAGUAAGAAAUGCUAACGUUAUAUCUGAAUCGGUUAAUCUCCCUCCCUAUCCUCCCUGUGCCCCAUAACUCGUAAAACAACUAGUAUUGCAUGACAAUUUUUUGAACGAAUAUCAGAUACUGAGGUGCAAUGUAAUAUUUGUCAACAAAUAUAUAAGCAUAAAAGCGGAGGCAAGCAAAGGUGUACGGAUACGUUAAUGAGACAUAUAGGUGAUGCUCACAAAAGAGAGUUAGAAAUUGCACGAGGUGGUGGCGAUGUUGAUGGGCCAACGCAAACUAGAAUGGACCCAGCAACCGAUCAGGUAAUGAAAAAGUAUAAUAAAUUGAGGGACCGAAAAGAAAUAGCUAAAAUGAUAGGUGUGGGUUCUUCUUCUGAUGCCUUUAUUCAUUGCAUUCAAACUAUUUAUAAUCCUAUGUUUAAUGGCGUUCCUAGAAGUACUUGUCGAUCUGAUAUUUUUAGACUUCAUUCACAAUAUUAUUUUUAUUUAUCAACAUUGUUAAAAAAUAUUCAAUGUAGAUUGUCCCUAACUUCUGAUCUUGAUCGCUCUGUAAAUUAAAAUGAUUAUUUAACCGUUACUUGUCACUGGAUGAAUAGUAAUUUUAUGAUGCAAAAACGUAUUCUUGCUUUUUUAUAUGAUGAAGACCAUAAAUAUACUGGAGAUUUUAUUGCUGAUUCUAUUGUUAAAAUUAUCGGAUUUUAUGGUAUCGAAAAUAAAAUCUUAUGUAUUGUUUUUGAUAAUGCUUCUAACAACAAGACUGCUAUAAAAAAAAAUUAUGUUAUCUCCGUCGUUGCCUGAAAUUUUUCAUAUUAAGUGUGCAUGCCAUUUUUAUAAUUUAAUUGUAAAAGAUGAUCUUGAAUUUUUUGAGCUUUAUAUUGAAAAAAUUCGUCUUGCUGUUGAUUUUAUUCAAGGAAAUAAUCAGAGAAAAAAAUUAGAGAAUUUAAAAUUAAAUGUCAGGAAAAUGGACUUGCACCGAUAUUGAUGUUUGGGAAAAUUGAUAUUAGAUGGAAUUCUACAUAUGAUUUUUUAAAAACUUGUUAUAAAUAUAGAGUUCUUAUUACACUAGCUUUUAACCAACAUUGCGGUUCAUUUACUGAUUCUGGUGAUUGCAUGCUACAUGAUUCUGAUUGGGUUGUAAUUAAUGAUCUUAUUAAGUUUUUAGAAAAAAUUUAUGUAGCUACGGUUGAAUUUUUCGGUGCGUAUUAUCCAAUUGUUUGUAAUAUUUUGAGAUAUAUAGCCAAUAUUUCUGGUUUGCUUAAAAAUAUAAAAAUAAAGAUGGUUAUAAAGAAGCUGUUAGUGCCAUGUUUACUAAAUUUAAAAAAUAUUUUUUGUCGAUUUCCCCUAUUACUUGGUUGGUGCUAUGUUAAAUCAGUGCAUUAAAUAUAAUACUAUGUGCCACUUUAGUACUAUUAUUUAUGCUAACUUAGAAAUAAAUACUAACAAUGAUUCUAAACAAGUACAACUUGAUUUGUGGACGGCUAUGAGUGAUGCGAAUGAAUACAUAGAAAAAUUAUACAAUUACUAUGCUGAUUUAUUUGACUUAGCCGUACCUACAAAUAUCUCUCCAACUGUCGCUCCUCAUCCUCCCAAGUAGCCAUCAUUUUCUAAAAGACCAGCACAUAGUGAUUUUCCUGAUUCCUUUUAUGAUUUACCUUGUUGGAACAGUGUUGAUGAAAGAACUUACACCUCAACUUAUCGGGAGAAGCUGAAAUAUUAUCUUUGGUUGCCACCCGAGGGGAUCAACACGUUGGAUUGGUAGAGGAGUGAUGAAACAUAAUAUCCUGUGCUUUCAAGAUUAGCUAGAGAUAUCUUGAAUGUUUCAAUGUCAACCGUUGUAUCAGAGAGCGUCUUUAGUCUGGGACGACAACAACUUAGAGACAACCGACACUAAUUGGGAAGCAAUGCAAUGAAUGUUCCAGUUUGCCUCAGAGAUUGGAUCAGAGCGGAAAGAAGAAACCAAGGAAUGGAACCGGAGCCGAGCGACGAGCUGAAACUUGAAGAAAUUAUGUCUUCACGGGAGAACUCAGCAGAAUCAAGUCCAAUGCAUGGUUUUACCCCCGUUGACUUUGACUAUCCUAUGCAAGUUUCCGCUAAUAUUAACAUGAAUGAGAUGAAAAAAAAUGAUGCAUAAUUUAUAGAUUUUUCAUUCAUGUAAAUUAUAAAUUUUGGAUCAUUUCGCAAUUCGCAAUCAAUUAAAUUCGACAUUCAUCAACUCUUUAGUCCUUACUUUAUAAUUUUUUUCAUUUAAUGAUUUAAAUUGAAUUUCUAGUUUAAAUUUAAAACUUACUUCUAAUAUAUUAUUAAUUUACCACCAAGUAUUAUUAAUAAUUUAUUAUAUUAAGUAGCAUAUGUUUUGUAUAUUUAUGUAUAUAUNNNNNNNNNNNNNNNNNNNNNNNNNNNNNNNNNNNNUUUUAUUUAAAGUAGUACAUAUAUAUUGAAUGGUGCGUAUAUUUGUGUGUAUAUCUUCUAUAGACGUGCAUAUUUAAUGUAUACAUGCAUAUGUGUUUUAUAAAUUAGUAUAUAACUAUAUAUAUACUAGUAUAUACAUAUAUUGUAGUAUAUGUUUUACUUAAAGUAGUACAUAUACAUUGAAUGGUGCAUAUCUCUGUGUGUAUAUCUUCUAUAGACGUGCAUAUUUAACGCAUAUAUGGGCAUAUAUUUUUUAAAUUAGUAUAUAACUCUAUAAUAUUUAUAUAUAUACUUAUAUAUAUUGUAGUAUAUAUAUGUUGUAAUAUAUGUUUUAUUUAAAAUAGUACGUGUAGUCGUAGUUAUUGAAUGGUGCAUAUAUAUGUGUAAUUGUGUACAUGUGUAUAUAUUUUUUAAAUUUUAAUGUAGUAUAUAUUAUAUAUAUAGUGUAUAUAUAUUGUUAACGUAUUUAAAAUGUAUAUAGGUGGAUAUAUAUUGUGUAUAUUGAAAAAAGUUUUUUUUUUUAAAUUUUUGACCGGGUUUGACCGAAUUUUUAAUCGGAUUUGACUGGGUUUAGUUGGAUUUGACCGAGUUGGGUUAAAUGAGCCGGGUUAGGGUGAUUUUUGAAAUUUUUACUGUUGAGCCUGGAUUAGCCCGGUCCACUUAAAACCAACCCGGCCCGGCCCACAACUCAAUUAAUUUGUAUAAAUAACACAAAUACCAACCUUUUAAAAGUAAUUACACUUUUUCUCAUUUUUUUAAUUAUUUUAUUCUCUCUCCCUAUUAAUGUAUAUAACAUAGCCGACAUAUACAUAACAUUCUGUCUAUAUGUGAAAUUUUUGUAAUAUAUUUAAAAAGUUGAGAUUUUUUGUAAUAUUGAAAACAUAAAUUGUGUAUUUAUGUAAUUUUUAAUAAUUUUAACGUCGAUCCACUUAACACCAACCCGACUCGGCCUAACCCACAACCCGAUUAAUUUUAACGGGCCGGUUCUGAAUUGUCCCGCUCACUUGACAGCCAUAAUGCCACCCAUAGUGGCAUUGAAUGGAGUGAGCUUCUUCAAGUGUGGUUUGAAUCGCUGCUAGUUUUAUAAAACAAGGUACAAGGAGAACUUCGUACAAAACACAGAACUAAGAUCCAACUACGAUCAGAAGUACAUAACAAAAAAAUCUAGUUAAUUUCGUUAAAUAUAUGCUCACUUAUGUAUUACUUGACUUGAUCCCUUUAAUUUCAAUGAUGCCCUAGUUAUCAACUUGAUUAAUGAGUGUCUGGCGGUCUAGCGGUAUGAUUCUAGCUAUUUUUAGUUUUUUUUUUUUAAAAAAAAAAAAUUGUCUGGACAAAUUCGUAGCAGAGGCUAAAACGUAAAUUAGAAAAAUAGACUUCAGCCGUCAUUGCCAAUUUCAAAACGGAUGAAUUAGCUGGUGAGUGGAUUCGUAGUUAUUCAACUAAUAUAUUUCAGACUUCUUGUGUGUUAAGAAAAGGCGAAAUAAACGUACCGUGUUCGAAGUGACAUAUUCUCAUAGGACCAAACUAACGCUAUUUAGGAUGUUUAAACAAUUAAAUUAAAUUAAAUACAUAUUAAUUAAUCAUAAUUAAAUAACAUAAAUUAAACUCUUAAAUUCAAACACUAGGUCAUGCAUACUAGACUUACAUGUACUAACUUAGUACAUGCACUCUCUGUUUUUAAUCCUUCUCAUCAGAGUACUGGUCAAAAGAGAUGGAUCCAUUUUAUUGAAGCAAGCAAAAUACAAUUAUUGAAGGUUCAUUCUUCUUUUAGACUUACAAAUUCAACCCAAAACUUGCUAUCUAGCCCUGUUUCUAGAAUUUCAAAGGCCAAAGCCAACAUAAGAUCAUUGAUUAACCGAAAACAUACAACUGCUGCUUGUUCAACUCUUUUAACAUAAUUAGCUGGAAAUACAUACAUAUCGGCAUUUCAUUUAUUAAUGCAACGCUAUAUAUACAUCUCUUCAAAAAGCAUGGAGAAAACGUCGCCAUCCUUGCACCUUCAAAGUACUCCCCAAUUGCAAAUCUUGGAUCCAAAAUGCAUAAAGCUUGCUACAAGCAAUUAUGCAUUCGGAUUCACUCCAACAGAUUGCAAUGUCUCAGUGUGAGGUUCCCUACAGUGACACCAAUAAAAUCAAGAUAUUAAAUCUUUAAUCUUGAAAUUUAAGUUCAAGACCACAAUAUUAAAAAGUUUCCUUUACUUCCAUCAUCGUGUUAAGCAAUUUUAUUUUUUUUAAAAAAAAAGUUUGGUGCACUAAGCUCCCAUUAUGGGCAGGAUCUGGAAAAGGGCCCAACCACAGAAAUGUAUGUAGUCUCACCUUCCAUUUUUCCAGGACUUCCCGAUCACAUGCAACUACUUUACCCGUUGCGCAGGUCCGAGAAAAGACCCAUUUCUGCAAGGUACUGUUUCCUAGGCUUGACAAAUUGAUCCAAACAAACAAAUAGAAAUGAUGGGAGUACUAAAGAAUCCAUUGGCCCGUGACAAACAUGGUAUCAAGGGCAAAUCUCAAAGGCAAUACGUGUCAUGUGCUUGACAUAUGACAAACAUGAUAUCAGAGCCUCGGUGGGAGGGAGGAAUCAACGUGAGGAAAUUGAAGUACUAGAAGCAUAUUGGAGUACCUCGCUAGAACAUCCCCACGGAUGGGAUCAGACAUGACAGACUGAUCAUCAAAAUCCUGAACAUGAGCCACCUUUCGAAAGAAAGAUUUCUUUAAGAACUUUUCUGAAUCAUCCACAACCUCCUCCGGUUCGGUGACUUCUGGUACAGUUUCCCUCCUUGAUUUCUUCAAGGACACGUUCGGCGCCCGCUUCAGCUGAUGCAUCGCUGUCUGUAAUCCAAAACCCAUCGAUAGCGCUAUUAGUCCAAGUGCCACGUACACUGGAACGAAAUCUCCUUUCAUGAAUCCCCUGUUUUCAAGCUAACAUCAACAUACUGCUUUUAUUUCACUUAAAAUGGAAAAUUUACAUUUUUAGUACCUCAGAUAUGUCAAGUGAUUUAACUAGCUAGGAAAGAAAGCACAUUAAUUAAUCACGGUUAAGAGCUAAAAGUCAUAGUACUAUUGGAAUUUAUCUAUUGAUUUGGGGUAAACAUCCUGUGGAAUUGAGUUCUUACCCUUUUGAUUCCUUUCAUGAAAUAUGUGUGUGUGUUCACUAGUUUAACAAGUGCUAAACCACUCAAUUAGCCUUGUAUAAUCUCAAGUUUGUAGUGGUACUCUACAUUUGACAGUAUCUAUAUAAAUACGUAUUUCUUAUAGAUACAUAUAAAGGGACUAAAAACAAACAUUUGCAAAUUAAAGUUUAGAUGUGCAUGGACAAAUAUUACAAGGACAUCAAAAUUGACCAACAAAUGAGGUACCCAUAUUGCAAUUGGCCCUUCUCUUUUUUUUUUUCUUUCUUUUUUUCUUUUUGGUAAUAGAGUUGCUAUAAACCAAAAUUCACCUGGGCUUGGCGUCUGGAUGCUCAGCAGUACUGGCAUAUGACCUCCAUUUGGUCCCAUUUGAUUUUGCAAAAGCAGAAUCUGCGGUAACACGAAUAGCCACAGAUUUCCACAAACUCUACAAAGUUGAACAAAAAUUUACAAUGAAUGUUUAACACACACGUUGAACAAUCAAAAUGUAACUCGACCAACUAAUUAAGUACUCCGUUUCCGUUUCAGAAAGAAGGAACUACUUGACAAAAAUAUUUUUUAAUCUUGCGACCUUAAAUUAAAAUUAUAUCAAAUAUAUCAAAAUACAUUGUAAUCUUGCGAUCCUAAAGCUGUCAUCUGGAAAGUUAAAAUUAAAAUAUUGAAAAAAACUGAUUUUUUUUUUUAAUGGACUAAAAAAAAUUGUAACUAGAAUUUGGACUUACCGAAGACCUGAAUGCCAUGAUGCAAAAUAUGAGUAGAAGAGUGAAUGAAGCACUAGCAGAGCAAAAUGAUAAAGUAAAGAGGGUUGGUUUUCACUGAUGAAGAGAUUUUUUUUUUUUAUGGUUAAUUGAUGAUAGAUCAUUAUAUAGUGAGGGAGACAUCGAUAGAUAAGUGCCACGAAGGGGUGUACAUGCAGAAUUAAGGACACUCGUCAGCAGCUAACAAGUCCACUUUGUGCUAGCGGUGACUCGUGUCUCAUGCUAACUAAAUAUACAUAAGUUUAUGUUUUUUCUUUUAUUUAUUUAUUUUUAUUGUUAUCCUCCUUUGACUGACAAACCCUUCUACUUCCCCAUAUUAGAUUGUUCCAAGUGGUUUAACAGAAUCUCAGUGAGAAGUACGCUUUGAAUUUUAAGUUAACAAGUGCAAAGAAAUAUAUAAAUGUGUCCAUGUAUUUUUAAUCCACGACACGUAGGUAGAAUCUAGGUACAUUCGAAUCAUUUUUAGACCUGCUUGUCAAAAUUCACUCGAUAUAUCAUUGUUAUUAAAAAAAUUAGAUACAAACUCUUAAUCUAAUGACACCUGAAGAAUACAUCAUUUAUAAUCUUGUUGACUCUUCAAAUAUAUAUAUAUGAAGAACGUCAAAAUCACACGUAUUCAAUUUUUUGCUAAAUCAGCGUAACUAAGGUAAUUUGGGUAUUUUCAUGUAGAAUUCUCAGGUAGUAAAUCAUUUCGAUGUAUUUUAACGAUCAAAAUUUUUUUACAAAAAAAAAGUUACAGUAAUAAAUAAAUUAUGAAAUGAAUCUUAACCUCAAAGGCUAACUUAAAAAAUGCGAAUUGCCCAAAUCGAUAUAAACAAACUACUCAUUCAUCCCUAAUCAAUGUGAAACUUUUACCCACUUUUAACAUAUACAAACACUCCUUUCGUCUUGCCUUAUAUCCUUGCUUCUAGUGCAUGGACACCAGAUAUAAUCAAAUCCUAAUAAUGCCUUCCACAAACUUAGAUGGAUAAAUUUUUUUGAAUGUAUAUGUAUACACACAUUGUAAAGCAGAAGCAGGUAUCUAAUUUUCUUUUCGCAAGUACUCAACAACAGAGUACUCCAAAGUCCUACGAUCCAUUGAGAUUUGACAAAGGCCAAAAAAAAAAGAUGACAUGGCAUUGGAAAGUAGCCGAAUUGCAUCAGAAUUGCUAUAGUAUUCACAAAUCUGCACUACAUAUAUUUGUAGUACUCAUGAACAUGCACAAUAGCAAGAUAUCACCACCAUGUAAACUUAAAACAUCUACACAUAUCUUACCUACUAGAAACUAUAUAUAUAUAUAUAUAUAUAUAUAUAUAAAUGGGUCAUACUCCAUAGUUAUUCACCAUCUUUGGAUCCUAUUACAGAAUUAAAUAUUACACUCUAAUUACAACCAAACUCCACAGUACAAGAAGGCCUAUGAUUUACAGCUUAUGGAUCCACUCCUAUAGUUUUUAACGUCUCCACGCCCGGCUUCCUGCAACACAAAUAUUCCUAAUAAGUACCAAUACCAUAUAAUAUAAAACUCAUAAAAAAAAUGGAGAAGAAACUGAAGAGCAAUUACUCUACGAGUAAACAUAAUACUCAUAACUUUACCAUACUAAUUAAGUACUAACUUGGUAUAAAUGUCGACUCGAGGAUUAGCACGUCUACUAACAACAUCCUGAAUGUGAGCCACCUUUCUGAAUAAAGAUUUGUUUAUGAACUUAUCAGUCUCUUGUGCAACAUGUUCUGGCUCCACUAUCUCUGGCAGAGUUUCCCUUCUUGAUUUCUUCACAUGCACAUUAGGGGAUCGCCUUAGCUGCUGCAUAGCCGUGUGCACCCCGAAACUCGUCGACAGUCCGAUCAUCCCUAGCGCCACGCACACAGGCACAAAGUCUCCCUUUCUUGACCUGCCAUCAUCACAUCGCAAAAUUUAGAAAAGGUACUUCUCUAGGUUCAAAUUGUUAAAAUUAUUGUUGAUCUAAUUGUUUAGUGACAAAUUAUCAAAAGAUUAUGUUAGUUAUAUAUAAGCAAUUUAGGGACGGAUUAGUGACAAAGUUCAUAGUUAAUUCUAACUUUUUUAGAGUGAUACAUAUACACAUUUUUUUAACUGGUUGAAAUUAAAUUCUGAAUUCUCCUCCCUAAACCGUAAAACCAAUCAUCAAGCUACUUAAUUGGAAAGAGUAAGUAGUGGAGUAGAGAAUUAAUCUUACUUGGGCACAGCCUCUUUGAGUUGGAGAGGUGAAAAUGGCUUGAGCUUUGAAGUGGCUGCUGUUGCAUAAUUUAGUGAUGAACUUCCUUUAAAGUGAUUUACUGCGGAUUUUAGAUAAGACUGCAAUAUCCAAAAACAGGCUCUCUCUUAAUUUAAUGUAGCAUAAAUACAGAUAAUAAGCUCGCUUACAUAUAAUAGAGUAUAUAAUUAAGGAACAAACUUAUUCAUGAUCACCAAGUUAUAAUUGGAACUUACCGCUGAUCUAAAAGCCAUAGGAAUAAACAAUUGAUUGAAGUAGGUUGAGAAUUCGAUAAAUUUUAAUAUGAUUUCAAGUUUGGUGUGUUUGUUCAAAAUCGAAUUGCUAAGUUUGGUUGAUCACAUUUGCACUUGUGAUUGUCCACUUAAUAUAUAGUUGAGGACAGAUGGUUCGGGAGACACCUAGGACGUAAUAGGACAAGGGCCAUAUGAUUUUUACCGAAUGGGAGUUGGGCACGUGUCAACUAGAAAAUGAGUCCACGUCAUUGCUAUGGACAUGGAAGUCUCCUGAACCUACUAAGUGAUUUUUAGCAGAUAAUAAUCACUUAAUUAAGCAUUAAUAUAGACUGAUAAAUAGUAUUCCCUCCAUUUCGUUUUAAUUGACCCUCUUUUUUAAAAUAUUUAUUUCAAUUUAAUUGUCCAUUUAAUGAAAUCAAGAGGAUUUUAUUAUAUUUUUCCAAUACUACCUUAAUAUUAAAUGACUAAAUAAAGUAUAUUUACUCAAAAUUAUAUUUUCAAGACAUAAUUAAUAAGGCUAAUUUGAUAAAAUAAAAUCCUAAUUAAUAUUUUCUUAAUGAAGAUAUCAAGUCAAUAGGGAUCAACUAAUAUAAAACGGAGGGAAUAAUAAAAUUGAAUUCAUGCACGAAAUUGCAUGUCAUAGACCCAGAUAUUGGUGACUUUAGAUAUUUAAGGUAGAAGAGGUUAGACAGGCUGUUCGCAGAAUGCGAGGGGGUAGGGCGACGGGGCCGGAUGAGAUACCGGUGGAGUUUUGGAAGUUUGUUGGAGAGGCUGGUGUUAGGUGGUUGACUGGAUUGUUUAAUGAAAUCUUCAAGACGGCAAAGAUGCCCGAGGCUUGGAGGUGGAGCACCAUGAUACCUCUCUAUAAGAAUAAGGGGGACAUCCAGAGUUGCAAUAACUAUAGGGGGAUUAAGUUAUUGAGCCACUCUAUGAAGAUCUGGGAGAGAGUGGUCGAGGUGAGGCUGAGACGGAUAGUGUCUAUUUCGGAAAACCAGUUUGGAUUUAUGCCUGGCCGCUCGACGACGGAGGCAAUUCACCUGGUACGGAGGUUGAUGGAACAGUAUAGGGAGAGGAAGAAGGACCUGCACAUGGUUUAUCGACCUGGAGAAGUCCUACGACAAAGUCCCCAGGGAGGUGCUUUGGAGAUGCUUGGAGGUGAGUGGAGUACCGCUGGCAUAUAUCAGAGCAAUUAAGGAUAUGUAUGAUGGAGCGAAAACCCAGGUGACGGCGGGAGGAGACUCAUAGCAUUUCACUGUCCGGACAUGGUUGCAUCAGGGAUCUACUCUUAGACCUUUUUUGUUUGCAUUGGUGAUGGAUGUGUUGACGCGGCGUAUUCAAGGGGAGGUGCCUUGGUGUAUGCUUUUUGCAGACGAUGUAGUUCUGAUAGAUGAGACCCGAGAGGGUGUGAGCUACAAAUUAGAGGUGUGGAGGCAAACCCUUGAGUAUAAAGGGUUCAGGGUGAGCAGAAGCAAGACAGAGUAUGUGGAAUGCAAGUUUAAUGACGUGAGGCGGGAGAAUGAGGUAGGAGUAAAGCUGGAAUCACAGGAGGUAGGUAAGAGGGAGAGUUUCAAGUAUCUCGGGUCCGUGAUCCAGAGUAACGGUGAGAUUGACGAGGAUGUCUCGCACCGUAUUGGGGCGGGAUGGAUGAAGUGGAAGCUCGCGUCGGGGGUGCUGUGUGAUAAGAAGGUGCCGCCCAAGCUUAAAGGCAAAUUCUACAGGGCGGUAGUCCGUCCGGCCAUGUUGUAUGGAGCGGAGUGUUGGCCAGUGAAGAACUCCCACAUCCAAAAGAUGAGGGUGGCAGAAAUGCGGAUGUUGCGCUGGAUGUGUGGGCUGACUAGAGGGGAUAGAGUUCGGAAUGAGAACAUCCGGGAGAAGGUUGGUGUGACACCAGUGGAGUGCAAGAUGCGGGAAGCCCGAUUGAGAUGGUUCGGACACGUGAAGAGGAGGGGCAUGGAUGCCCCGGUCCGUAGGUGUGAGAGGCUAGCGUUGGAUGGGUUUAAGCGGGGUAGGGGUAGGCCGAAGAAGUACUGGGGUGAGGUGAUUAGGCGAGACAUGGAGCAGUUACAGCUCACCGAGGACAUGACCCUAGAUAGGAAGGUCUGGAGGACGCGAAUCAGGGCAGUGGACUAGGGCCAGUCUGAGUUGUCUUGAGCCGAGGGUCUAUCGGAAACAGCCUUUCUACUUCUUCAGAGGUAGAGGUAUGGACUGCGUACAUCUUACCCCCCCAGACCCCACUAGGUGGGAAUACACUGGGUUUGUUGUUGUUGUUGUUGUUGUUGUUAUUUUAUCUCAAAUUUUAUCUUCUCUUUAUUAUUUUCACUUUUUAUUUUUUCCUUUAAUAUUAUUAUUAUAUUUUUUUAUUAUUUUCACUUUUUUUCCUUUAAUUUUAUUAUUCUAUUUUUUAUUAUUUUCACUUUUUAUUUUUUCCAUUAAUUUUAUUUUUAUUUUUUAAUUUAUUUGUCUCAACCUUUAUUUUUUUUCUCUUUUUUCUCAAGCGUUAUCUAUUUAUUUUUUUCCUUUUUUUAAUUCAUUUAUCUUUAGCCUUUAUUUUUCUGUUAUUUUUAUUUUUUAUCAGUUUUUUUCCCCUUAUUUUUCUCAAUUUUUAUUUUUACUUUUCCUCUCAUUUUUUAUUUUCUCAAUUUUUAAAAUUCUUUGCUUUUUUCUUGAUCUUUUUUUUUUUUUGUCUUUUUUUUUCUCACACUUUUUUAUAUAUUUUUCUACUUUGUUUGAUCGCUUUUUUCUUUUUUCAGUUCUCUUUUUUUCCCUCGUUUUUCUGAAACUUUAAUUGUAUUUUCCUCUCAUUUUUAUUUUUCUCAAAUUUUUAAAUUCUUCAUUUUUUUCUUCAUCUUUAUUUUUUUCUCAAUUUUUUUAUUUCUCUAUUUUAUUUGAUUGUUUUUCCCCUUUUUCUCAACUUCUAUUAUAUUUUGCUAAUAAAUAAAAAAUUAGAAAAUCCGCAAAGAUAUCUUCUUUUUUUGACAUCAAAGCAAAUUUAAGGGCAUAAAUUGUUGUUACGAAGUUCUUUAAAAAUUCCUGAGAUAAGUCGUGUCUCUAAGGCGAGAGUUGUAGAAUAUCUCAUACAUAAAGACAUAAUGUGGUAAUGUCAACUCUUGUCCAUAGAGCAUAGUUUAUUAUUUGAAAGUCCUUGAGCUAAGUCUUGCCUCUAAGGCAAGAGUUGUAGAACAUUCCACAAAUGAAGACAUAAUGUGGUAGUGUCAACUCUUGCCCGUGGGGCAUAAUUUGUAGUUUGAAAGUCUUUGAGCUAAGUCUUGCCUCUAAGGCAAGAGUUGUAGAACAUCUCAUAAAUGAAGACAUAAUGUGGUAGUGUCAACUCUUGCCCUUGAGCAUAAUUUAUAGUUUGAAAGUCCUUGAUCUAAGUCUUGCCUCUAAGACAAUAGUUGUAGAACAUCUCAUAAAUGAAAACAUGACGUGAUAGAGUCAACUCUUGCCCAUGGGACAUAAUUUGAAGUUUGAAAGUCCUUGAGCUAAUUAAGUCUUGUCUCUAAGACAAUAGUUGUAGAACAUCUCAUAAAUGAAAAUAUAACGUGGUAGUGUCAACUCUUGCCCGUGGACAUAAUUUGUAGUUUGAAAGUCCUCGAGCUAAGUCUUGCCUCUAAGGCAAUAGUUGUAGAACAUCUCAUAAAUGGAAACUUAACGUGACAGAGACAACUCUUGCCCAUGGGGCAUAAUUUAUAGUUUGAAAGUCAUUGAGCUAAUUAAGUCUUGCCUCUAAGGCAAUAUAUAAUUGUAGAACAUCUCAUAAAUGAAAACAUAACGUGGUAAAGUCAACUCUUGCCCGUAAAGCAUAAUUUGUAGUUUGAAAGUCUUUGAGCCAAGUUUUGCCUCUAAGACAAAAGUUGCAGAACAUUUCAUAAAUAAAAAUAUAACGUGGUAGAGUUAACUCUUGCCCAUGUAGCAUAAUUUGUUGUUUGAAAGUCCUUGAGUCAAGUCUUGCCUCUCAUAAAUGAAAAUAUAAUGUGGUAGAGUCAACUCUUGCUCGUGGGGCAUAAUUUGUUGUUUGAAAAUCCUUGAGCUAAGUCUUGCCUCUAAGGCAAUAGUUGUAGAAUAUCUCAUAAAUGAAAGUAUAACGUGGCAGUGUCAACUCUUGCCUGUGGGCAUAAUAUGUUGUUUGAAAGUCCCUGAGCAAAGUCUUGCUUCCAAGGCAAUAGUUGUAGAAUAUCUCAUAAAUGAAAACAUAAUAUGGUAGAGUCAACUCUUACCCGUGGGGUAUAAUUUGUUGUUUGAAAGUCCCCGAGCUAAGUCUUUCCUCUAAGGUAAGAGUUAUAAAACAUCUCAUAAAUCAAAAUACAAUGUGGUAGUAUCGACUUUUGUCCAUGAAACAUAACUUGUUGUUUGAAAGUCAUUAGUAUGGGUGUCAAACGGGCCAAUUUUAACUGGCCCGAAUCGGCCCACAUAAUAAAUCGGCCCAAUUUGACCCGGCCCAGUAAGCCCAAGGGUUUUAGGAUUUUAGGUCUCGGGCCAUUUAUUUUUUUAAUUUGGCCCCGGUUAAUCCGGCCCGGUUGCCUUUUUUAGAAAAAAAAAUUAUUUUGGGCCAAACUAGCCCUUGGCCCAACGGCUAUAUAGCCGUUUUUGGAUCCAAACGGCUAGUUUGGGCCCAUUUAUUAAAAAAAAUAAAAUUUUUACAUUAUAAAUUAUUUUUUAAUCCCCCAAAAAAAUCUAUAAAUACCCUACAACUUCAAAUCAUUUUCCACACAAUUUUUCACUCUCUCAAAUCUCAGUUCUCAAUUCUCAAAUAUUCAAUAUAUUUAAUUUCUUAAAGUGUUCACUUUAAUUUUUUUAUUUUUCGUUUACAAAGUACGAGCGGAUNNNNNNNNNNNNNNNNNNNNNNNNNNNNNNNNNNNNNNNNNNNNNNNNNNNNNNNNNNNNNNNNNNNNNNNNNNNNNNNNNNNNNNNNNNNNNNNNNNNNNNNNNNNNNNNNNNNNNNNNNNNNNNNNNNNNNNNNNNNNNNNNNNNNNNNNNNNNNNNNNNNNNNNNNNNNNNNNNNNNNNNNNNNNNNNNNNNNNNNNNNNNNNNNNNNNNNNNNNNNNNNNNNNNNNNNNNNNNNNNNNNNNNNNNNNNNNNNNNNNNNNNNNNNNNNNNNNNNNNNNNNNNNNNNNNNNNNNNNNNNNNNNNNNNNNNNNNNNNNNNNNNNNNNNNNNNNNNNNNNNNNNNNNNNNNNNNNNNNNNNNNNNNNNNNNNNNNNNNNNNNNNNNNNNNNNNNNNNNNNNNNNNNNNNNNNNNNNNNNNNNNNNNNNNNNNNNNNNNNNNNNNNNNNNNNNNNNNNNNNNNNNNNNNNNNNNNNNNNNNNNNNNNNNNNNNNNNNNNNNNNNNNNNNNNNNNNNNNNNNNNNNNNNNNNNNNNNNNNNNNNNNNNNNNNNNNNNNNNNNNNNNNNNNNNNNNNNNNNNNNNNNNNNNNNNNNAGUGUAUAUUUAGCGUAUACAUGUGUAUAUGUUUUAUAAAUUAGUAUAUAACUAUAUCUAUAUAUAUUGUAAUGUAUAUAUAUUGUAGUAUAUUUUAUAAGUAGUAGUAUAUAUACAUUGAAUAGUGCAUAUAUAUGAGUAAAUAUCUUCUAUAGAAGUGUAUAUUUAACGUAUACAUGUGUAUAUGUUUUAUAAAUUAGUAUAUAACUAUAUCUAUAUAUAUUGUAAUGUAUAUAUAUUGUAGUAUAUUUUACAAGUACUAGUAUACAUACAUUGAAUGAUGCGUAUAUAUGAGUAUAUAUCUUCUAUAGAAGUGUAUAUUUGACGUAUACAUGUGUAUAUAUUUUAUAAAUUAUUAUAUAACUAUAUCUAUAUAUAUUGUAAUGUAUAUAUAAUGUAGUAUAUUUUAUAAGUAGUAGUAUAUAUACAUUGAAUGAUGCGUAUAUAUGAGUAAUUGACUAAUUGUGUAUAUGUGUAUAUAUUUUUUAAAUUCUAAUGUAGUAUAUACUAUAUCUAUAGUGUAUAUAUAUUAUUUAACGUAUUGAUAAAGUAUAUAGGUGGGUAUAUGACUAUAUGUAAUGUAUAUUGAAAGAAAGUUUUUUUCUAUAUUUACCGGGUUUGACCAUUUUUUUAACCGGGUUUGAUUGGAUUUUGGUGGGUUUGACCCAGUUGGGUUAAGUGGGCCAAGUUCGGGUGGGCUAUAAUUUUUUUACUGUUGGGCCCGGCCCGGCCCGACUGGCACCAAACCCAGCCCUUAACCUGCCCUCAACCCGAUUAAAGUAGAAGGGCUGGUUUCGGGUUGGCCCGACCCAACCCGUUUGACAAUCCUAGUCAUAAGUCUUACCUCUACAAUGCAGUUGUGUCAACUCUUACCCAUGAAACGUAGCUUAUUGUUCGAAACUCGUAAAUCUUGCCUUUAUAAUGUAAUAGUGUCAACUCUUGCUCACAAGAUAUAACUUGAAUGGAAGAAAUCGAAGAAAAGAACAAAAAUAACAAAAAUUCUGGAAAAAGAAGAAAAUGAAGAAAAAUAUAAAAAAACAAAAAUAAAAAAAAAUAUAGAAGUUGAGAGAGAAUGGGGAAAAAAUAAAGGUUGAUAAAAAUAAAAAUAAAAAGAUGAAAUAAAAAUAAGGGUCGAGAAAAAUUUUAAAAGAAAAAUAUGAAGGAAAAAUAAAAUAAGUUUUUUAUUUUAAUAAAAGUAGAUGUUGAAAGGUGUAAAGAAAAAAAAGUAAGUGUUGGGAAAAACUAAAAAGAAUAAAAAAAAAGAGGAAAGAAAAAAUCAAAAAUAAAAAUAAUAUAAAAGAAAAAAGAAAAAAGAAAAAAAGAAAAAAAAUUGAGAGGAAAAAAGGAAAAAAGUAAGGGUUGAGAAAAAGAAAAAAAAUCAAAGUAAAAUUAAAAAAAGAAAAAAAAUAAAAGUUAAAAAAUAUAAAUAUGAAGUUGUUAUCCAUUAUGUGGAUCAUUUAUGUAAUUGCUCCAUUGAUGAGGGGCAAUUUUAUUUAAAGGAAUAUUAGUUAAUAUGUAAAAACUAUUUUAAGAAAAAAAAUUUAUUUGGAGCUAAAAUUUAAAAGUCACUUCAAUUUGGGUCUAUUUUUUUGAAUCACCCGAAUUCAUGGGCUUGAUUAAUGAACCAAUGAAUAUUUGGGUCGUUUCACGGGUCUGGAACGACAAACUAAAUGUACACCCAAUACUGGUUAGCGGGACAAAUUAAAUGGCCUGUUCAAAUGAGAUAUUGGGUUGAAAUUGAAUCCAAUAAAUUUUCAAUUUCAUGUAUUUUCGAUUCGAAACUCUUAGUCAAGUGUCAGGUUAUUAUUGUUAUUAUUUUUUUUUUUGGUAAAGGUCAGAUUAUUUUUGGUUAUAGGUUCAAGAGGAAGGAGAAGAACCCUCAUCCAAUGGUAUAUUUUUUUCAUUUACCGCUUCAAUAAUCUCUGAUAGUUAUAUUUGACAAAGAUUAAAAGUUUUUUAUUUUUUGAUAAAUCUUAAAAUUAUUUUUUUAUGAAUAUAUUUAGGGAGUAUUUGAACUUACCCAAAAAUAAGACACCAUUUUUUUUUUUGACGUUUUCUUCUUUUCUAUAUUAUAGAAGAGCUGGUUUCGACCAGCUCUUUAUUAUUUACCAUUUUAUUUUUAAUUGCUUCGUAAUUUAUUAUAUUAUUUUUAAUUAAUUAUUAUAAUUAAUUUAUAUAUUAGAAUUAAUAAUAUUUUUUAUUAUAUUAUACCUAAUUAAUUAUUAUAAAUCAUUUAUAGAUUAGAAUUAAUAAUAUUUAAUUAAAAAAGUAGAUAUUUAUGACGUUUGUUUCAAUUGCUUUAACCGUAAUUUUACUAUAUCAUCCUAAUUAAUUAUUAUAAGUCAUUUAUGUAUUAAAAAAUUAAUAAUAUUUAAUUAAAAAAUAGAUGUCAUGUCUGCCUAUAUUAUCCCUAAUUUCUCCGUGAUUUAUUAUAUCACCUCUAAUUAAUCAUUAAAACUCAUUUAUAUUUUAGAAUUAAUAAUUUUUUUUACUAUAUUACCCUAAUUAAUUAUUAUAAGUCAUUUAUAUAUUAGAAUUAAUAAUAUUUAAUUAAAAAAUAGAUAUUUAUGACGUUUGUUUCAGCUGCUUUAACCGUGAUUUUACUAUAUCAUCCCUAAUUAAUUAUUAUAAGUCAUUUAUGUAUUAAAAAAUUAAUAAUAUUUAAUUGAAAAAAAUAGAUGAUAUGUCUGCCUAUGGUUUCGACCAACGCUUCAUCAAUUACUAUAUUACCCCUAAUUGCUUCGUGAAUUACUAUAUCACCCCUAAUUAAUUAUUAUAAGUCAUUUAUGUAUUAAAAAAUUAAUAAUAUUUAAUUNNNNNNNNNNNNNNNNNNNNNNNNNNNNNNNNNNNNNNNNNNNNNNNNNNNNNNNNNNNNNNNNNNNNNNNNNNNNNNNNNNNNNNNNNNNNNNNNNNNNNNNNNNNNNNNNNNNNNNNNNNNNNNNNNNNNNNNNNNNNNNNNNNNNNNNNNNNNNNNNNNNNNNNNNNNNNNAUUAUUAUAAGUCAUUUUACUAUAUUACCUCUAAUUGCUCCAUAAUUUAUUAUAUUACCCCUAAUUAAUUAUUAUAAGUCAUUUAUAUAUUAUAAUUAAUAAUAUUUUUUAUUAGUCAUUUAUGUAUUAAAAAAUUCAUAAUAUUUAAUUAAAAUAUUGAUUUCGACAUGGCUGCUUCAAGAGCUACACCGUGAUUUCACUAUAUUGCCCCUAAUUGAUUACUAUAAGUCAUUUAUGUAUUAAAAAUUAAUAGUAUUUAAUUUAAACAAGAAAAAUAUGCAUUUAUGACAUAUUUGUUGCAGCUGUUUCAACCAUAAUCAUCUUUGAGAAGAUGAUCCAAGACUUUAUUGUUAAUUGAAGUAUCUUUUGUUUCAGUUUUUGUAUGAAAUAAUCCUAUGAAUAUUAGUUCUACGUCUUUUUUAUAUUUUGUAACAGUUCUCAAUCUUAUCAUCAAACAAUUAAAAUAACUUGACUGCACGACACAUCACACUUUCUUAUCAUUUUAAAUCAAUCUACAUUUAUGUUUGUAUUUCAUGAAUAUCAAAUAUUAGUGCUAAAAGAUGUCUAUAGUAUUGGGUCUGUGCUGACACGGGUCAUGCACCUCUAGUGAGGUGGUUUCGACCACCUUUUCAUUUACUAUACUACCCCCAAUCAUUUACUAUAUUACAUCCUAAUUGCUCCAUAAUUUACUAUAUUAUCCCUAAUUAAUUAUUACAAGUCAUUUCCUAUAAAUAUGUAAGCCAUUCGGCAAGGUAGAGGCAAGUCUUCAUGUGUUGAAGCAAAAAGCCCUUCUUUGUAAAUAUUAGAAUUUAUAAUAUUUAAUUAAAAAAAAUAGAUAUUUGUAGCUUUUGUUUCAGCUGCUUUAACCGUGAUUUUACUAUAUCAUUCCUAAUUAAUUAUUAUAAGUCAUUUAUGUAUUAAAAAAUUAAUAAUAUUUAAUUCAANNNNNNNNNNNNNNNNNNNNNNNNNNNNNNNNNNNNNNNNNNNNNNNNNNNNNNNNNNNNNNNNNNNNNNNNNNNNNNNNNNNNNNNNNNNNNNNNNNNNNNNNNNNNNNNNNNNNNNNNNNNNNNNNNNNNNNNNNNNNNNNNNNNNNNNNNNNNNNNNNNNNNNNNNNNNNNNNNNNNNNNNNNNNNNNNNNNNNNNNNNNNNNNNNNNNNNNNNNNNNNNNNNNNNNNNNNNNNNNNNNNNNNNNNNNNNNNNNNNNNNNNNNNNNNNNNNNNNNNNNNNNNNNNNNNNNNNNNNNNNNNNNNNNNNNNNNNNNNNNNNNNNNNNNNNNNNNNNNNNNNNNNNNNNNNNNNNNNNNNNNNNNNNNNNNNNNNNNNNNNNNNNNNNNNNNNNNNNNNNNNNNNNNNNNNNNNNNNNNNNNNNNNNNNNNNNNNNNNNNNNNNNNNNNNNNNNNNNNNNNNNNNNNNNNNNNNNNNNNNNNNNNNNNNNNNNNNNNNNNNNNNNNNNNNNNNNNNNNNNNNNNNNNNNNNNNNNNNNNNNNNNNNNNNNNNNNNNNNNNNNNNNNNNNNNNNNNNNNNNNNNNNNNNNNNNNNNNNNNNNNNNNNNNNNNNNNNNNNNNNNNNNNNNNNNNNNNNNNNNNNNNNNNNNNNNNNNNNNNNNNNNNNNNNNNNNNNNNNNNNNNNNNNNNNNNNNNNNNNNNNNNNNNNNNNNNNNNNNNNNNNNNNNNNNNNNNNNNNNNNNNNNNNNNNNNNNNNNNNNNNNNNNNNNNNNNNNNNNNNNNNNNNNNNNNNNNNNCUUUAACUGUGAUUUUACUAUAUCAUCCCUAAUUAAUUAUUAUAAGUCAUUUAUAUUUUAAAAAAUUAAUAAUAUUUAAUUAAAAAUAGAUGACAUGUCUGUCUAUAUUACCCCUAAUUGCUCCAUGAUGUACUAUAUUAUCCUUAAUUAUUUAUUAUAAGUCAUUUAUAUAUUAGAAUUAAUAAUAUUUUUUUACUAUAUUACCCUUAAUUAAUUAUUCUAAGUCAUUUAUAUAUUAGAAUUAAUGAUAUUUAAUUUUAAAAAUAGAUAUUUAUACGUUUGUUUCAGCUGCUUUAACCGUGAUUUUACUAUAUCCUCCCUAAUUAAUUAUUAUAAGUCAUUUAUUUAUUAAAACACUAAUAACAUUUAAUUAAAAAAUAGAUGACAUGUCUGCCUAUAUUACCCCUAAUUGUUUCGUGAUUUACUAUAUUACCCCUAAUUAAUUAUUAUAAUUCAUUUAUAUAUUAGAAUUAAUAAUAUUUUUUUUACUAUAUUACCCCUAAUUAAUUAUUGUAAGUCAUUUAUUUAUUAGAAUCAAUAAUAUUUAAUUAAAUCAAUAUACAUUUAUGUUUAUAUAUUUCAUCAAUAUCGAAUUUUAAUGCUAAAAAAUAUUUAUUGUCUUGGGCUCGUACUGACACGGGCUAUGCACCUCUAAUUUUAAAAUAAAGUUAUUUGAAUAAGUGACGCUUGUUUAAGUGGUUCAACACCUCAAUCAUCUAAUGAUAAGUUGAGGGUUCGAGUCACGUUGAAAAGUAGGUGGAAACACAAAUUAUUCUCCUGACAGGUAGAGUGAGAAAAAAAAUAAAAAAUAAAACUAUAUGCAAUUACUUUUUACGUGAUUUAGUUACUUAAACAUUUUUAUAUUGCUAGUUUAGCUGCACGUACCUCGCACGUGUAAUUUUUUAUUAUUUAAAAUUAAACGAUUUUAUCUAUCACGAGUUUUUUAAUGAAGUACAAAAAGUUUAAAACAAAUAUUUUAUCGUAAGCACAUAUAUAUAUGAGAAAAAUAAUUACAUUGUUAGAUUCGAACAUAUGAGAAUAUCAAACCUAGAAAUCAAAAUUCACGAACAAAACAGAUGUACUAAUGCAUGGUGUGUUAAAUUUAAAAUCACUCUCUAAGCUAAAGGAAAAAUAAUAAGUCACGACAACCAAUAGAAAAGGAAAAACAACUCAAAAAAGAGUGAGAGAGAAUAACAUACUAAUCUAGCGGAUGAAAAUUACAAUGGUUGAAGAAAACACAAAAUACAAGCGUGGGACGGGACAAUAUAUAUUAAUAUAAAAAUAUGUUGAAAAUUAAACCUAGUCCUAAUUUAAGAAAAGAAACUUACCAUAUUUUAAAGUCCUAAUCCAUUACCAUAUUUUAAAAUCCUAACCCAUAUAUUCUAGGAUUCAAAAUUAUCUAUAUAAUUAAAUAAUAAUUGGAGAAAAAAAAGUGAAAAGACGAUUUUAUCUAUUGUAAAGUGUUUUAAUGAAGGGCAAAAAGUUCAAAUUACAGGUCUUCACACUUUUAAUAUAUUAUAGAUUAGUGCAUUGGAUUUAAACUCGUACACUAAAAGUGGCUAAUUAUGUAAAAGGACUUCUUGUUUUUUGUUUGACGAAUAUUAAAAGUGUUCACUUUUACCAUUUAGAGAAUUAUAACCGCCCAUGAAUCUAUCUUGGGGACCAUUUGAAGCUAAACAAACAUAAGAGACCAUUUUUUUUUGUUUUCUUCCUUUUUAAUAAUAUAAAUACAACCUAAUUGAGUAAAUGAUAUUAAUAUUCCCAGAUUGUUAUUGAUUAUAUUGCUAGAUAUCGAUGGUCCGUGUUAGCAUGGGCCCAAUAUAUAUUACUUUUUAUCUCAAUUUAUGUAAUAUAAAUAAAAUUUACAUAAUCAAUCGUCAGAAUAGUUUAAGUUCUUAAUUAUUGUAAUUUAUAAUACUCUUUCUUCUAUUCCAAUUUAAGUAAUACUGAGAUAAUUUCGACAGUUAGUCAAAUAUUUUGUAUUUUUUUAUUUUUUUUAAGUUGCUAAUUAUGCUAUUUAUAAUUUUUCAAUAAGAUAUGAAUACUCUUCCCGUCCCAUUUUAUGUUGCAUCGAUAUAACUUCGACCUUCAAUCAAAUUUUUAUAUAUAUACUCCUAAUUAAUAAUUAUGGUCAUUUAAGCAUUAAAAAACUAAUAAUAACAACAACAACAAACCCAAUGUAUUCCCACAUAGUGGGGUCUGGAGGGUAAGAUGUACGCAGUCCAUACCACUAUCUCCGGAGAAGUAGAAAGACUGUUUCCGAUAGACCCACGGCUCAAGACAAGGAAUAAUAAUCAAAUCCGUAAUAAAGCAUGUAACAAGAUGACAAAACAUAAAUACAUCACCCACAAGGAAUAAUAAACAAAGAAUAAUCAACAAAUUCGUAAUAAAGCAUGCAACAAGGUGACAUAACAAGAAUAAUACACCGACCAAGUAAUGUCCUACCCCAACGACCCAAGCUGGUACUAGCUUUCUAUCCUAAUUUGCGUCCUCCAGAUCUUCUUAUCUAGGGUCAUGUCCUCAGUGAGCUGUAACUGUUCCAUGUCCCACCUAAUCACCUCUCUCCAAUAUUUCUUCGGCCUACCCCUAGCCGCCUGAAACCAUCCAACGCUAGCCUCUCACACCUACGAACCGAAGCAUCCGUGCCCCUCCUCAUCACGUGGCCGAACCAUCUCAAUCGCACGUCCCACAUCUUUUCCUCCACCGAAGCCACUCCGACCUUUUCCCGAAUAGUCUCAUUCUGAACUCUAUCACCUUAGUAAAAUCACACAUCCAACGCAACAUCUGCAUUUCUACCACCUUCAAUUUUUGAAUGUGAGAGUUCUUGACUGGCCAACACUCCGUUCAAUACAACAUGGUCGGACGAACAGAAUCAACAAAAUAUUGACAAGACACAUCUCAAUAUGCCAGAAAAUAACAGAUUCAAAACAGUAUAGUUGGGUUAUUUGGAAAAACAUAAAAAGAACAAGGGAACUAUCAGUAUCGAUAAAUUGCUUUCAUAUCACACAUAUCCUCUAAAUCAUAGAACCGCAUAUAUACAACACUAUCUAAUUACACAAGUUAUGUAAUAAUGAAUUAUGUUUAUCCUCACAAAAGUAAAAUCUUAUUAGAUAUUUUUCUUUCAUUUCUUUUUAUUUGGUAAGAAAUUAUUUAUUUAAAAUUUAUUUUACUAAAUUAAUUUUAUUAAGUAUAUUUUAAAAUUUAAAUUUGAUUAUUAGUAUCAACAAUAAGAAUUUUUCUUAAUUUACUAAAUAAACAAUUAAAAAAGAAAAUUUUAUUUUUAAUAUAAAAUCUAAAUAAAGAAUAAAAUUUUACUUUUAUUAAGAAUAUUAAUUAUAAUAAACUAUUAUGAAUUAUUAUCUCAUUAAUUUACUUAAGUAUAUUAGGUUUAAAUAAUUUAUAUAGAUCUAAAAUUAAUAAUAAACCAAACAAUUUUGGAAAAUAGAAAUGAAAAUAGAUGAAAUAUUAUAUGAAAAAUAAAUUAACUCUAUUAAGUAUACGUUAAAAUUUAAAUUUUAUUUUAAAUUUGGUUAUUAGUAUUUCAUUUACUUAAAGAUAAAAAUAGGAAUUAUCAAACAAACUAAGAAAUUUUCUUAAUUUACAAAAAUAAAUAAUAAAAAAUUGAUAUAAAAUUUGAAUAAAAAAUAAAAUUUAUUUACUUUUAUCAAGUAUAUUAAUUACUAUGAAAAAUAAUUUCAUUAGUUUACUUAAAUAUAUUAUAUUUAAACAAUUUUUCAUAGAUCUAAUUAAAUACACCAAUCAAAUUUGGAAAAUAUAAAUGAAAAUGUUGUACCCCAUUUAUGGCAAACCAGCAAAGUCAUGUCUCAUCAAGAAUUCCUUUUCCGAAAAAGCUGAACUCACAAAUGUCACUCUUCUCUUUGCUGACAUAGCUAAAGCCUAAAACAAAGAGAUCUUUGGAAAUAUUUUUCAAAAGAAGAAGCAACUCUUAGCUAGGUUGACUGGGAUUCAGAAGUCCCCCUUAGUACCCAACCAGUCCUUUCCUUCAUGAGCUGGAAGGAACCCUUACCAAAGAGUUCAACUACAUCCUAGACCAGGAAAAUAAAUUCUGGAAAUUUAAAUUCAGAAUCAACUGACUCAUUGAUGGAGACAGGAACAUCAAAUUCUUCUAUAACUCCACUCUUAACAAGAGAAGAAGAAA